This 48459-nucleotide long non-coding RNA is filed under the name Ananas comosus (pineapple). RNAcentral's name for it is "long non-coding RNA (ACOM_LNC007755)". Lineage: Eukaryota; Viridiplantae; Streptophyta; Magnoliopsida; Poales; Bromeliaceae. The record is from RNAcentral.
UUUAAUUAUCUCUUUUAAAUUCUAUUUUUAGCCUAUUUUGAAACUUCGAUCAGAAGCAUUCAAGCAAUUUAGAGAAUUAGUGGAAGUUGUCUGAGCAAUAGUAACUCAAAUUGUCUUUAGACUUUAGAGUAUUGACAACGUAUGGAUUUAAAUUGAAGCAUGAACUUUGAUUAUUUUGAUUUUGGCUUAAAUGACUUAGGAAUCCAGAGAGCUUAAGAAUAUUGUUGCAACUUGGGUUCUCAAUGAGUUUAAUUUUACAUGAUAUCAAAGAAGAUUAACAAGUCAAAACAUAAAUGAACAUAUAUUUUAAGUUAUUUUGACAAUUGAAUUAACUGUAGUAGUAUGCUUUAGAUGAUGGGGAGGAAUCAAGUGUUGCACAAUGGGGAAAUUGCUGCACUGCUACACUAGUUGACAAAAAUAUUAACAACUACGUAGAUUCUUAUCUUUGAGACACACAGUAGCAUUGCUAUUUGGCCGUCCAACUGAUAUGUGUGAGUACUGUGUUACUUUCUAAAUAUUGCAACUGCAUGUCAUGUGUUCUGUAGCAUUGAUGCGCCUUAAAAUUUUACGCUCUAUUCAUUUAUGUGUACAUAUUGAGUUAAAGAGAAUCAAACAGCAUUUAGUCAGGUUUAUAUACUCACUGUGAUUACAUUUUGAUAAAGAAAAGCUACUUGUCAAUUUGUAAGGAUUUCUAGUUCAUGAAACUUUGUCAAUUGCCUUCUCUAGAUAUUAUCGUUAGUUUAAUUCAUGGAUUGUAUUAUGCUAGUUGUGUUGGUUAUCGUAUGUUUAUGUGGUAAUGAAGAAAUCUUGCGAGUCUUAUUUUCCUUGAGUGCCACAGUAUAGCCAAAUAUGGCGUAUAGUUCCUGCUUAAUGGUCGAAUCUUCUAUAAUGCUUCUUGAACCUGAAAGUACUCAAAUUUUACUUUGCUUGAAUUGCUUAAAUUCUGUUUAAAUCUUUGGAUCCUAAUUCUCUCGUUGAAGAUGCUUAUUUUAGACUCACAUCUAUGGUUCAUGAUCACUUGAUUUGUGCAAAUUUCAUCAAAAUAUAGUUUCUCCCACUCCCACGUGCAUUUUUCUUUGGAUUAAUAUAUAUAUAUAUAUAUAUAUAUAUAUAUAUAUAUAUAUAUAUAUAUAUAUAUAUAUAUAUAUAUAUAUAUAUAUAUUUCUUUUCCCAGGUGAAGAUAUCCCACCAUUGCAGUUAAAGGAAGGCGUUUUCCGAUGUAUCAUGCAGCUCUAUGAUUGCCUUUUGACUGAGGUUCAUGAACGUUGCAAAAAGGGUUUGAGCUUGGCAAAACGUUUAAAUAGCAGCCUUGCUUUCUUUUGUUAUGAUCUGUUGUCAGUCAUUGAGCCACGCCAAGUUUUUGAGCUGGUACAAUGAUCCUUUAACCUUUAAAUUCCUUUGCCUAAUAGUUAAUAGGAUUGUUAAUUUGAUUCUCUCUGUUACUAGUUAUAUAUUUUGUUGCUUUUCUUGGUUAUCUAAAAGUUAGAUGGAAUUUCUUGGAUCCACAAAUUUGUAAGAUUGAAGGAGAUAAGUUUCUGACUACUGUGAUUAGCCAAGAUGUUAACAAUACAAUAAGUUAAAAGUAUGGAACAAAAUGAUAGAUGUCUUGUCAAAGCAUGUCUCUCAUUGCAACAAUUACCAUUUAUGCUCUUAAUAUAAGUCGGGGACAAUCUGUAAUGCUAUCUGAUAUUUGCCAGGUUUCAUUAUAUCUGGACAAGUUUGCUGGAGUUUGCCAGUCAAUUCUGCAUGAGUGCAAGCUUUCCUUUCUGCAGAUUAUAUGCGAUCAUGAUCUUUUUGUGGAAAUGCCUGGAAGAGAUCCUUCAGAUAGGUACCAAGGACUCUGAUCUUUCAAACAGUCAUAAUGAUGCAUAUAUUAUUCAAUAUAUUGGGCUGUGUACAUUUGUCUAUAAGCAUUUAAAUGCCAAUGCUUUACGUCCUUUAGUACGAGUAUUCUGAACUUUUAGGCAGAAGUACUAGACUAUCAUCCUGAAGAAAGCUCACAGAGAUUCUUCUGUCCCCAUUUAAUUUUAAACAAGUCAUUAAGUUUACAAACAGUUAUAUUCUGUUGUUUGUCUCCAGGUUGAAGAUUUGUCAUUGUUUAGCACAUGAACAAGCCGGCUAGUUGUUACAACUUUUGACAGUGAAUCUCUAAACCUUGCGGUUUUUAAGAAUAACUGUGACCAUUGAAAUCCAUAGAGUUCAUAGCCCUAUGAAAUGGUUUGCAAAUAAGGAAUUAAUGAGCUGAUCCGAUCCUGCGUAGAUUAAUGAUACUGGUAAUGGUUCCUAUGUAUAGUUUUGAGUGUUUGGUUCACUGAGGCAAUAGCACAAUGCUAACCAUGUAAGGAAGACACAUUGUGUUGGAUACAUCACAGUCAACGAGCUACCUGGUUCUCUUAAAGUCUUUGUUUUGUACUUUGAAUUAGAAGUUAAAUCUUUUGAAAGUCGAUAUCAGGUUGACACUUAUAAAACUAUUAAAUUUUCUGUGUUCUUGUUACUUUCUAGGUAUGUUUCAAUCUACUCUGUAGUAGGAAAGUACUUUGAUGAUGAUGACCUAACUUAUUGAAUCUUGAAGUUACUCAAUGCACUCGCUGACGUGGAAAACAUGACUGGUCGGAACUUUCAUCUAGUUGUCCUAAAUAUUGGAGUACAUAUAAAAUUUAGUAUAAGUAUUUACCAGAUUUAAUGUUUAGAAGUAUUUACCAGAUUAAUAUAGAGGAAACUGUACUGUCACAUGCCUUCUGAUUUGAAGGUUAAAGUUAUGGUCGUGCAAACUGAGUUUUCUAAUUCGUUAUAAUUCCUGCAGAAACUAUCUUUCAUCAGUUUUAAUACAGGAGAUUUUUCUCACGUUGGACCAUGAUGAUUUAUCACAACGGGCAAAAGUAUGUAAUUUGUUUCUACAGAUCUCUUCAUAUAAAUUCUUGUUUUGUGGUUCCUUGAACCUUUUUUUUUUUCCGGUGCUUAACUAGAUCCUACUUUUGCUAUCUUUGAUUUUUUUCUUUUUUUCGUUGCAUUUUCAUGUAUCAAUCAAAUGAAGAUUCUCUUUUUCAAUAUUGUAGGCAGCUCGUAUGUUGGUGAUCCUUUUGUGCAAACAUGAAUUUGACUACCGUUACCAAAAACGCGAGGAUAAAUUAUACAUCGCUCAGCUUUAUUUUCCAUUUAUCGGACAGGUAGGAAAGAAAUGCCAAAUUCUUUGAUGUCUUUAAUACCAGGUUUUACUUCCGACUUUGUUAGAUUUUUUAUGAGGUCGAAAGUUCAAUAAUUCUUUUUGAAAAUAUACUAAAAAAUUAUGACAUUUAGUUGCGUUUCUCCGCAUUUGAAUUUCUGUGUCUCUAUUAAACUAUCUUUGUUUGUUUGAAUUUCUCACAUUUCAUCAUUAGAGAGUAUAAAUUUAAGGGCUAGUAUUUCACAGUAUCUUUUGUUUCCCAUUUCCGAGUUUUUUCAAUGUCCAGGCUAACCAAAAAAAGCAUCACCAUGCAACGAGGAUGCAGAGGAAGAAUGCUACUGUGGAUGUGUUUUAAGUCUCGAAAUUAAGGUUUUUUAGUCAGGACACAGUAUAUUAGUUAAGGAUGUUGGUUGAUGAAGAUAGGGACUGCUGAGUCCGUAUGUUGUGGACUAAAUGCACUAAGAAAGAAAAACUCUCACUAAGAAGACCGUCCUAGGUUUUGCCUCAGAGUUUUGCUAAAUUCAUGUUGAUGACAGUCUAAAUAUUCCAAGGUUCGAAAUGGUUCAGGAGUAUUGAGAAAGCAUGUUUUUAGAUGUGAAAAGCGAUUGUGAGGAGAAUUGGCUAGUUAACCACCAAGGGCAUAUAGGCCAUGUUUGGAUGUUGGAAUAAGUUAUCAAGUGAUAUUAUAUUCUGUAAGAAGAUUUCCUAUUGUGAUCGGAAGCUAGGAGUGUAAUCAAAUGUUUAGAAUGGAAUAACAUAAGAUAAAUUACUUAUAGGCGAAAUAUGCUAUCCUACUAAAUAAUAAUGUCAAAGACCUUCCAAGGAGCAAAAAUCAAAUUCCUACUUUUCAAUUUCACCAGAAAAUCUUCGUAUUGAAUAAGUUAUAUAUUAUUGGUAACUUAUUUUGCCAUCCAAACAAGGCCAUAGUGUAAAUGUAAUCAAUGAAAUUUGUGAUCUGCUAAUAUUCUUGGGAAAUAAAUGUUAACUGACUUAAAACAUAUGGCUCAAGAAAUAAAGCCAUUACAUCAGAGUUCUCAAUUGUCAAUUGAACUAGUUCUAGGGAGUAGCGAUUGUUAUGUAUGCUUCAUUGUUAAAACUGUUUUAGCAUCGAGCUAGUGCAAAACCUCAAAAGAUCUGUUCAUUAUGGGAGAGCUGCAAAUAAUAAAAAUCAUUGCAGGUUCUGGAAACGAUCGACUGCCUUAUUUGAAAAUAUGCCAGAACUAAUAGUCCUAUAAACGUAUGGUAAAAUUCCAAAUAAUUUUUUACUUUGAUGAGGACAUACUUCUAGUCAUGACCAUACUGUUCAUGUGGAAGAUAUGCUAUCUGAAUAUAGUUGUUGCUGCAUGGAUUUUUGUUCUCAAAACAUAAUCCGUUUCCUUCACUGCAGAUAUUAGAUGAGAUGCCUGUAUUCUAUAAUCUAAGUGCUGUUGAGAAACGUGAAGUUUUAGUUGUCAUCUUGCAAAUUCUAAGGAAUUUGGAUGAUGCAUCCCUUGUCAAAGCAUGGCAACAAAGCAUCGCUAGAACAAGGUUGUUUUUCAAGCUCCUUGAAGAGUGUCUCCUGCAUUUUGAGGUUCGUAUUCGAGCAAUGAUCACAUUGAUGUUUGUCCAUGUAAUAUUUUGAUAUCAUUGUUAACAUUGCUUGGUUGGGUCAUUGGUCUUUGGUAUAUUCUUAUGAUUUUCCAUUGUUUAUUCUGUCUGUGUGAAUACGUUACAGCACAAAAGACCAGCUGACAGCUUGCUGAUGGGCUGUAGUUCGCGGAGCCCUGAAGGUGAAGUUCCUGCUUCUCCAAAGUAUUCUGAUCGGCUUUCCCCGGCAAUCAACACAUAUUUGUCUGAGGCUUCUCGUCAGGAAGUUAGAGUAUGCCUAAAACCUAGUUUUCAUGCUUGAUAAAAUCUUGAGUAAAAGAUGUUGCAAUACAUUAGCAUUGGAUGUGUACCUUUAUAGUAUAUCACUAAAUGCUACAUACACUAUGCAGCCCCAAGGAACACCAGAAAAUGGAUAUUUGUGGCAUAGAGUCAGUCCUCAGCUAAGCUCUCCUAAUCAACCAUAUUCUCUAAGAGAAGCUCUUGCACAAGCACAAUCUUCUCGAAUUGGUACCACAACACGAGCAUUAAGAGAGUCUCUACACCCAAUACUAAGGCAAAAGUUGGUAUGUUUUACGUGCUUUUUUUUUUUAAUCAACAUGUCUCCAAAUAGGCCUCCGCAAAAUUACCAAUUUACAUUCGUAUCCUUGAAAAAAAUCUGAACUUCUAUAUUAUGCCCUUAAUACACUUGAUUUGUUACAUGUAUACCCUUGUAGUUACGAAAUUUUCUCCUUGGAAAAACUCUUUUUAUGCAAAUCACAAAACCAACUUCCCCUCAUGAAUUUGAUGACUCCUGAAAGUAAAAUUACUUUUGUAAGGAAUUGCUUUGAGGAAUAGAGACGGAAAUUCAGCUUUUUAUGGUGGUAUGUAUGUGAAUAGGUGAAUUUUUGGAGAUUUUUAUAUGUAAAAGCUUUCUUGUUAAGGAUCUUCACAGCUCUGGGUAGUUGAGCUCUUUGACACCAUACAUUUUCUUCAGGAAAUUUGGGAAGAGAAUCUCAGUACUGCUGUCAGCCUCCAGGUUUUGGAGAUGACCGAAAAGUUCUCAGCUGCUGUAGCAUCUCAUAGUAUUGCUACUGAUUAUGGAAAGCUGGAUUGCAUAGCAUCCAUCCUCACGGGUCUCUUCUCUCGAAGCCAACCGCUGGCGUUUUGGAAAGCAUUAUUCCCUGUAUUCAACAGCAUAUUCAAUCUCCAUGGUGCGACGCUAAUGGCAAGAGAGAAUGACCGCUUCUUGAAGCAAGUAGCUUUUCAUCUUCUUAGACUCGCUGUUUUCCGAAACAAUUCCAUUCGGAGAAGGGCUGUUGUUGGAUUACAGAUACUUGUUAGGGUAAGCUACCAAUUAUGUUGUGAUCUGCAACUUGGGGGUUUUCUGCAGGAACAACCCACCAAAUUUUUGGUUUUGCUAAUUUUAAUCUGCUUUUUUCGUUUUCAUGAAUUCGGACUGAAAUACUUUAUGGACUGAAAUACCCUUAGUCCUCCUCGGCCCCUAAUCAGAUCAAUACAUGAAUUAUAUAGAAACUAGAAGACUUCAGUCAGGAUUAUUUCAAUCCAAAAUUGCAAAAAGUGAAAUAGGCAGUAUAGAAUUGGAGAACUGAAAAAUCAGCAGUUUUUUUUGGCAAAUUGGCCUCCAAGGGAUAUGCUUGAAUUAAAAAAUAAUGCAGAUUAUUUUCUUAUCUACAGAAUUCAUUUUACUAUUUCAUGCACACAACACGGCUGAGGGUGAUGCUGACAAUUACCUUGUCGGAGUUGAUGUCUGAUGUGCAAGUGACUCAGAUGAAGUCUGAUGGAUCUCUUGAAGAGAGCGGCGAAGCACGACGUCUUACGAGAUCAUUGGAAGAAGUAGCGGAUGAAGGUAGGAGUGAGGAACUCUUAAGAGAGUGUGGACUUCCUGGAAAUGCCCUUCAUGCAGUCCCCGAGGGUUCAACAGAUAAUAGGUGGUCUUGGUCUGAGGUCAAACUUCUAUCUCAGAGUCUUCUCCAGGCCCUUGAUGCAGGACUAGAACACGCUCUUUUGGUAAGAUGUUUCUAUUUUGGUGUAUCAUAUUUCUAUGCUGAAAAAGUGAACUGAAGUUAUAUAUCAGUUCUUCAAUUGCCAUUUGUUCUACUCUAGAGACAGAAAAUUGGAAACGUGCAGACAAUGAGGUCCUUAGAUUAACAUCCUAAAUGGUCACAAUUAAGGAGAUGCCACUUAACAAGAUGCCGAAAUAUUACAUUGUAUAAUAACUAAUGACUUGAGAUUUGAGAUAAAUCUAAUUGUUUAAUUAUUGAUAUUCUAGUAAGUAGCAACUAGAGUAAGAUUGUUCGCAUCAAUACACUGUUGCAUUAGGAUAGAACAAUUUGUCAAAGAUUCAUCUGAUGGGGAAAAAAAUAUUAUGUUUUCUUUACCAGAUGUACAUUUGCAUGGUAGUUCUUAUGGCUAAUUUGUAUCUUUUGUAGGGUUUUAAUAUUCUUUUACCUUGCAGGCUUCUGUAAUGACUGUGGACAAAUAUGCGGCUGCCGAGAGCUUUUACAGACUAGCAAUGGCUUAUGAAUCCGUUCCAGAUCUGCACAUCAUGUGGCUGCUGCAUUUGUGUGAUGCACAUCAGGAGAUGCAGUCGUGGGCUGAAGCCGCACAGUGUGCAGUUGCUGUAGCUGGUGUCAUCAUGCAGGUAAUUGUCAUACCCUUCAAUUGUUUCUUUUCUGUUCUUUCUUUUAUGGGAAAAAUGUGCAGAGUUUACCUAAACUAUGUCGAAAUGAAAAAUGAAAAAUGAACAUCUUGAUUUUCCUACCUUUUUUUUCAUUACUCAAUGAUUUCGAAAAAUUACACUGACUCUUCUUAGCAUGUAAUGGAUUUGUGAAACUCUUUUGUUAAAAAAAUGUUAAUGUCAAGAAGCGUAUGGAACCUACUAAUUUUUCCUUUUCAAUUAGGCACUUGUUGGAAGAAAUGAUGCUGUGUGGAGCAGGGAACAUGUGGCUUCUCUGCGGAAGAUCUGUCCUGUGGUCAGCAGUGAUGUCAGUGCCGAGGCCUCUGCAGCUGAAGUUGAAGGAUAUGGUGCAUCAAAACUAACAGUGGAUUCUGCUGUGAAAUAUCUCCAGCUUGCGAAUAAGCUCUUUUCUCAAGCUGAGCUCUACCACUUCUGUGCCAGCAUAUUGGAACUUAUAAUCCCAGUCUAUAAAAGCAGAAGGGCUUACGGGCAGCUUGCUAAGUGCCACACUUCCCUAACAAAUAUCUACGAGUCCAUUCUUGAACAGGAGUCGAGCCCGAUUCCAUUCAUUGAUGCAACUUACUACCGAGUUGGGUUUUAUGGCGAACGGUUCGGAAAGCUAGAUAGGAAAGAAUAUGUUUACAGAGAGCCUCGUGAUGUGCGUUUGGGUGACAUCAUGGAGAAGCUGAGUCAUAUUUACGAGUCCAAAAUGGAUGGCAAUCACACCCUUCAUAUUAUUCCAGAUUCUAGGCAAGUCAAUGCAGAUGAGUUACAGCCUGGUGUCUGUUAUCUACAGAUUACAGCAGUAGACCCAGUUAUGGAGGACGAAGAUUUAGGCAGUCGGAGAGAGAGGAUAUUCUCCCUUUCUACUGGAACUGUGCGUGCUCGUGUAUUUGAUCGAUUCUUGUUUGAUACCCCAUUUACCAAAAAUGGGAAGACCCAGGGUGGGUUAGAGGACCAGUGGAAGAGGCGGACGGUUCUCCAGAACGAGGGCUCUUUUCCUGCUUUGGUGAACCGGCUUUUGGUUGUCAAGUCCGAGUCUUUGGAGUUCUCUCCUGUGGAGAAUGCCAUUGGAAUGAUCGAGACCAGGACGGCUGCGCUUAGGAAUGAGCUUGAAGAGCCGCGGAGUUCAGAAGGUGACCAACUGCCAAGGCUUCAGAGUUUACAGAGGAUACUCCAAGGCAGUGUUGCCGUGCAGGUAAGAUGAAGUGCAUUAAAGUGGUAAUCAUGCAGAUUAGUUAGAGCUUGUUUUGCUCGGGUGGAGAUUUCACAAAGUGCUGUUUGACUGGAGGGCUUUUGGAAGAAGCACUAAUAGCUUUCGCAUUAUGAUCCCCUAAACAAACAGAAACGUUCUGUACUGGAGUUUCUACUUGUGGAGCCUAGAAAGAUCAGCUUUCUGCCAUAGUGGAAGCUCCAGGCAGCCUUUUUUUUUUUAUCAAUUGCCCUGUUUCUGAAUUCAACUCCAGAAGAUAGGGCAGACCGGUGCUUAUUGAUCUUCUUAAUUAUAAUUUCCUCUUGUUAUUCUUAUUUCUUACUAACUAGAUGUCGGCGUAAUGUGACGCAGGUGAACAGCGGAGUGCUAAGUGUGUGUACGGCAUUUUUGUCGGGUGAGCCAGCGACCAGGCUCCGGUCCCAAGAGCUCCAGCAGCUAAUUGCUGCGUUGCUUGAAUUCAUGGCUGUUUGCAAGCGUGCAAUACGUGUACACUUUAGAUUGAUAGGUGAAGAAGAUCAAGACUUCCACACACAGCUUGUGAAUGGGUUUCAAUCCCUUACAGCCGAGCUUUCUCACUACAUCCCGGCCAUACUUUCGGAGCUCUGAUUGCAUUUCAUUGGCCAUAUGUUGUGUUCAUAUGCGUUGUCAUUUUCGAGGCUCAUGGUCUUUUUGUUAUGUUUCCAUUUUGCAUGUUUGGUUGUACAUGUAUUUAUCCAGAUGACAGUUGCGCAGGCUUUGCAGUACCUGGUGAUUUUAGUAGAUGUUGCUUUAAGUUUUGGUUGUACAAUGUGUAUAAGCUGGUUUUUCAGGCCAAGUGCAGUGCACUGAAAAUUCGUCUCGGAGAGGCCCUGUUUGGUUGUUUGCAACACCAGUCUCCGAGGGGCCUCUUUCACCUUAAGGACAACAUUAGACUAAGAGCAUGGUUCCUCCUCACGAUUGUUAAUGUCUUCUCUUUAGUUAUAAGAUCCAUCGAAGCCCUUCUAUUUCGUCUACUCGUCUACCGAUCUUUGAUGGCGUUAUAAGUCGGUUUUUGUACUGAAAUGAGAUGUGUUUGUUUAUGUCUGAGCUCUCGCACCUGUUAGUUUUAUUUACACCUCGGCCACCGCACGCGAACGUAGAAUUAGUCAUCCAACUAUGAUAAUUUCUGUGAAGAACGCUUUUGGUUAUGCCACCUGGUUGCUAGUGUAAAACAGCUUUGGACAGAUUAGUCCAAACAAAAUUUUAAAAAAUGACCCAACUCAGAUUUUCCUCAAAUUAGGAGUGUAAGCAAUCUAUAGAAAGUUGCAUUCUUAAACAUAAAAAAAUUCUGUGCCUAAGCUUGAAGGCUACCCGUAGAUUAAUCUCCAUGUUUAAACCAGUUGCAACGUCCCCAGAUGGCAUCACAAUAAAAUGGAAGCAACGUCUGAAGAACAAUACUACAAAAUACUAUGUCUAAACUACUCUGAUAUGUUUUAUGCAUGAUAUUAUUCUCAAAAUUUACAUAGAUACGACCAAAUACAAUAAAGCAAACCAACAUUUGUGGGGUACUAAUGCACACGCAUACACUGCUUACCAUGCGGCAAAAGCAUGGCCAAUAAUAUGCUUCAUACGUGUUAUUCAUCCACUGAUUUUACACGGUUGAAGGCGCACUGGAAAGCGAUACACUCACACAGAAGAAGAAUCAGAAGCGGACUUCUGGUUUUCAGCUAGUUGGUUGUGUAGGAAGUCCAGUACUGAUUUACGCUGAAAAAGGAAAGCAGAUAUAUUAACACGUAAUUUAGAAAAAAGCUAGGAAAACAAUGAGACAAGUAUUGCUUAGUUACCCGUUGUUCGACAACAGUUUCAUCAGCAUCUAGCUUCAAAGAUUCUAAGCAUUUGAUCGCUUCCUCAAACCGAUCUACUGCCACAUUCUCGUUGCCGAGAUUCCGAUCCACAUCUGCAACUUUGGCUAGAGAAAUCGCCAGAUCAACAACCUAUGCCGAAAGAGAUACAAAGCGUUGAGAAACUUAGAACACCUAUAGAGUUGAUUUUUUCUUUAAAAAUACACAAUACACAAUACACAAUACAAUACAAUAUGCUAUAUAAUAUAACAUACAACAAAGCACAAUACUCGAUAACAAUAUAUAAUACACUACAAAGCAAUAGAAUAUACAAACAUACAAAACAGAACGCAAUCCAAUGCAGCGCAAUAUAGUACAAACAGAGACUACAUAAUACAAUAAUAUAAUGGAAUAUACAAUACAAUGCAAUACAAAACAACACAUAGCAAACAAACAAAUACAAUACAAUACAAAACAGAAGACAAUAAUAUAACACAACACAGUGUACAUAUAUAUGCAAUAUACAGCAUAACACAAUAUAAAACAAUACACUAUGCUAUAUAACAUAAUACAAUAUGAUGCAAUACAAGACAAUACAAUACAAUAAUAUUAUAUACAAAGCAACGUUUUCUAAAAAAAAAAAAAAUACAAAGCAAUGUAGAAAUAUAGUAUAUAGUAUACGUAUAUACAAUAUGCAAAACAACACAAUGCAUACAUAAUACACAACAUGACAAUCACCACACAAUACAACAUAAUACACUAUGAAAUAUAAAGCAAUACAAUAUAAAUACACUAUAUAAUAUAUCACAAUACAAUAUAGCAAUACAAUACACCAUAUGAUAUAUACAAUAACAAUACCAUGUUAUAUGCAAUUCAGCAUACAUUGCAUGCAAUGAACGAUAUACAAUACAAUAUACAAUAUAAAAUACAAUACAACAGAAUAAAAUAUGCAACACAAUACAAUACAAUGUAAAAUGAAAUAACACACCAUAUAAUACAAUACAAUACAAUAUACAAUGUAAAACAAUACAAUACAUAAAAUAAACUACAGUAUACAAUAUAUAGCAAUACAAAACGGUGAUAAAAAUAAUUUGCAAUAUAAAAUACAGUAUUACAUACAAUAUAAUACUCGACAGAAACACAAUAAAAUAUAACAUACAAUACCAUACUCGACAAAAACAUACAACACAAUACAUAAUGAUAAGAUGCAAUACAACACAAUGUACAAUAUACAAUAUUGAAUACAAGACUUCAAUAUAUUGUACAAUACACUACAAUAUAUUAUAUAAACAAAACAAUUUGCUAUAUAAGACAAUACAAUUUGCUGUAUAUAUAUAUAUAUAUAUAUAUAUAUAUAUAUAUAUAUAUAUAUAUAUAUAUAUAUAGAGUCCGGCUACUAUACUAUUAUGAGUACGAUCGCCCUCGUACUCAUAAGUUGUUUUCGAUGAUAGAGCUUCCGAAUCNNNNNNNNNNNNNNNNNNNNNNNNNNNNNNNNNNNNNNNNNNNNNNNNNNNNNNNNNNNNNNNNNNNNNNNNNNNNNNNNNNNNNNNNNNNNNNNNNNNNNNNNNNNNNNNNNNNNNNNNNNNNNNNNNNNNNNNNNNNNNNNNNNNNNNNNNNNNNNNNNNNNNNNNNNNNNNNNNNNNNNNNNNNNNNNNNNNNNNNNNNNNNNNNNNNNNNNNNNNNNNNNNNNNNNNNNNNNNNNNNNNNNNNNNNNNNNNNNNNNNNNNNNNNNNNNNNNNNNNNNNNNNNNNNNNNNNNNNNNNNNNNNNNNNNNNNNNNNNNNNNNNNNNNNNNNNNNNNNNNNNNNNNNNNNNNNNNNNNNNNNNNNNNNNNNNNNNNNNNNNNNNNNNNNNNNNNNNNNNNNNNNNNNNNNNNNNNNNNNNNNNNNNNNNNNNNNNNNNNNNNNNNNNNNNNNNNNNNNNNNNNNNNNNNNNNNNNNNNNNNNNNNNNNNNNNNNNNNNNNNNNNNNNNNNNNNNNNNNNNNNNNNNNNNNNNNNNNNNNNNNNNNNNNNNNNNNNNNNNNNNNNNNNNNNNNNNNNNNNNNNNNNNNNNNNNNNNNNNNNNNNNNNNNNNNNNNNNNNNNNNNNNNNNNNNNNNNNNNNNNNNNNNNNNNNNNNNNNNNNNNNNNNNNNNNNNNNNNNNNNNNNNNNNNNNNNNNNNNNNNNNNNNNNNNNNNNNNNNNNNNNNNNNNNNNNNNNNNNNNNNNNNNNNNNNNNNNNNNNNNNNNNNNNNNNNNNNNNNNNNNNNNNNNNNNNNNNNNNNNNNNNNNNNNNNNNNNNNNNNNNNNNNNNNNNNNNNNNNNNNNNNNNNNNNNNNNNNNNNNNNNNNNNNNNNNNNNNNNNNNNNNNNNNNNNNNNNNNNNNNNNNNNNNNNNNNNNNNNNNNNNNNNNNNNNNNNNNNNNNNNNNNNNNNNNNNNNNNNNNNNNNNNNNNNNNNNNNNNNNNNNNNNNNNNNNNNNNNNNNNNNNNNNNNNNNNNNNNNNNNNNNNNNNNNNNNNNNNNNNNNNNNNNNNNNNNNNNNNNNNNNNNNNNNNNNNNNNNNNNNNNNNNNNNNNNNNNNNNNNNNNNNNNNNNNNNNNNNNNNNNNNNNNNNNNNNNNNNNNNNNNNNNNNNNNNNNNNNNNNNNNNNNNNNNNNNNNNNNNNNNNNNNNNNNNNNNNNNNNNNNNNNNNNNNNNNNNNNNNNNNNNNNNNNNNNNNNNNNNNNNNNNNNNNNNNNNNNNNNNNNNNNNNNNNNNNNNNNNNNNNNNNNNNNNNNNNNNNNNNNNNNNNNNNNNNNNNNNNNNNNNNNNNNNNNNNNNNNNNNNNNNNNNNNNNNNNNNNNNNNNNNNNNNNNNNNNNNNNNNNNNNNNNNNNNNNNNNNNNNNNNNNNNNNNNNNNNNNNNNNNNNNNNNNNNUUUUACUUCGUAACAAUUUUUAAAUCUCUGAUCAAUUUUGGAAUAAGUUUCAAGUCAUAGAGCUCACACCCCCUAAUUUUGCUUUGAAUUUUCAGUCCUUACUUUAAGAUAAAGUUAUUGUUUGAAGCUAUUUUAAUUUUUAUCUAUAUAUUUGUACAUCAUUAAUUCAUUAAUUUUUCAUUUAUCUCUACUGUGAAUUCAAAGCUUAAAAAUAUAAAUAUGAAUAGUUUUGUGACUUAAUGGAUGGUAAGUAGGGAUGCAAAUGGAUCCGGGUUGGUGGAGCUCCCGUCCAGAUCCGCCCCCGACGAGGCAGUAAGUGGGAGAAAAUAAACGGAUUUGGGGCGAAAAACGGGGUAAAGUUUACGAUCCGAGACGGAUUCGGGGCAGGAAACGGGAGAAAUUUUGACCCGCCCCGAAUCCGCUCCGCCAUGAUCCGCCCCGAAUCCGCCCCGAAAAUCAUUUAUAUUUUAAAAAAAAUAUUCCUAAAAAAUAAUGUAUUUACAAAAAAGUUUAAAAUACAAAUAAGUUAGUACUCUCAUUUCUAAUAUAUUUGAAACUUUUGAAUUUUGUUUUGAAUUGUUAUUGAUAUUUUUGAUUUUUAUAAUUGAUAUUGUUAAAUUAUAUAUAUAAUAUUAUUAAAAAUUAUUAAUUUAUAUUUUACAAAAUAUUAAUAAUAUUAACCCGCCACGGAUUCGGGGUGGGGUUCCCGCCCCCAGAUCCGCCCCGUUUGCAUCCCUAAGCACACCAAGCCCCAUGCGUAGGGAUGUAAACGGGCAGCACCCGUGCCCGCUCGGCCUGAACAUCCAGGCCGUGCUAGGCCUACCUCUCGCGGCCCGACGGCACGGCCCGGCCCGAAGCGGGCAUGGGCCGUGCCGGGCUGAGGAGAGGCAGGUAGCCCAGCACGUGCACGGCCCGCUUUGGGCUUGCAUAGCGGCUAGCAUGGCCCGGACCGCAAGGCCCAAUGCAAGUUGCCUUGGACCUUGGGGUCUGAGCUCUUGGGGAGAAGGGCUUGGCCCUCCUCCCCAGGAGCUCUCCCAAGGUCUGCCCGGUCCAAUGUACAUCUCAAUUCUCUUUUUUCUUAAAAAAAAGAGAAUGCAAAUUUAUUAUAAAAAAUAUUUUAAGGGGCCGGCCCAGCCCGGCACGGCCUUGCCUUCCGGGCCGUGUCGGGCUGGAGGCUAGGUACCUUGGGCCCGGCACGACCAGGCCCAAAUUUGAAACCGGACUGGGCCGGGCCGGCCCCUAGCCCAUUUCCGCCAGGCUAACUCCUACCCAUGCGCCACCUCCACACCACCCGAUCCCACACACCACACUACACCACACCACACAACACUAUGUAUGUGUGUGUAUAUAUAUAUAUACGAUAUACAACACAAUAUACAAUACUCCAAACAACACAAAACACACGAUAGCACACAACGUAGAAUAUAUAAUUUAUAAAAUACGAUAGAAAUGGCAGGGAACAACACCAACAACCGUAUACAACAGCAAACACCUACAAUAGGAUCAUACUGCAUAAAGUAUCAAUAUAUAGAAAACACAGGCAGCAUCACUCUAUUGAGAGUUGAAAAUUACCAAAAAUGUCAAACAACGUGUAUUUCACGUAAUAGUAGAUAUUACUGUAAAAGCCAUCAAAUUACUACUUUCAUUAAUAUCAACAUAAGAAAGUCCAUAGAAAAAGAUCCUUAAAAUGUUCCAAAAAGCAAUUAUGCAGCUGACAAAAACUAACUCUUGUCAAAAGAAGAAAAGAGAGGCAGAUGAAAGAAAAGAAAAACCAAAUAACUUGAGAUGAGGAGAAGUUAGAAAUGCAAAGUGCUGAUUGUUGUCUCCUUUGUACUUUCCAAGAAUGUUCUGAUUACAAGGGUGUGCAUUUACGAUUGUUGAGAAUCUUUCCUCAGUAUUCUCCACAUAUCCUAACCAAAUACUGCAGAUAAUUGUGAAGCAUCUCAACAAGAUGAUAGCCUACUUAGGAAUGAAGUCUACAUAGAAAGUUCUCUUUGCACAAACUGAUUUUGUUUUAGGAGCUUCAGCAAAUAGCAAAAUAAAAUUUCCCAUCUACAUAGGAAUUAGGAAUAAAAGUCUGAUUUGGUAUGGUUUAAAUGGUGAAUCUAAAGCAAGUUCAGAUCUGCUGGGAGGAAAACAAAGUUGAUUUUGUAUUUAGAGUUUGACCCAAUCAAAAGGCCACAUCCCCCUACUGCCAAACAGACACGACACACCCAACCCACUCCCCAACAAACAUACACACGCACACGCACACACACACACACACACACACACACACACACACACACACAAAUGAAAAAGUAAAACAGAAGAACUUCACAUGUUUGAUUGAUCCACUUAACAAGACAUAAAAAAGCUCUUACAAAUUAUCUGAACUGCAAUCCUAAAGUGGAUAAGGCUUCAUAAACACGACAGCAGAUUUGGCACAAUUCAUUCACAGAUUAAUUCCAGUAGGAAAAAAAAAACUAAUAUUUUUUAGGUAAAUGAACCUUUAAGCAAGUAAAGGUGCUUAACCUGGGAAGGCACAUUUGAGUGCUCUUUCACUGCAUUACGACGAACAUCCAACGACCGUGCAUAAUAACUUCUCGCAGAUUCAAGAUCCCCCCCAUAAUAUCUAAGGUCUCCAAUUUUAUUUAGCGAAACAGAUAGAGUGUGCACCAACUGUAGAAGAAUUUGAGGCAAUAUCAAUAGAGUCAACAGGUUCAUGAGUUCAAGAGUUCCGCAAAAAUUGGAAAAUUAACAAUACUACAAGAGUAGAAUAAGAACCUCCAAAUCCUUUGUAGGCAGCUUUGAAAGGAUCUCAGCACUCUCUUCAUAGUUACUAACUGCCGAAAUUGAAUCUCCCAUCGCUCGACUGCAAUGGACAUGGAUGCUCAUGGAAUUAGGGUGACAAAAUGAUAGUACAUGAACAAUGUCUAGGAAAAAUAGUGGAAUCACUAAAUAAAAAAAAUACUGAUGAUUAUAAUAUUUCAUCGCAAGGAUUUUCUGGAGGCAUACUAAAGACAUAAGUCUGGAAUAGUGCAAAAGGCACAAAUGGCAUUAGUACCAUCUAGAUUGAUUUUGACAACAAAUAGAACACUGUGAACAUGAUGGGACCAAGCAAAGAUUGAUAUGCUGAGGCAUAGAAGCAUGCCAAUCGGCAAUGCCUUCAAAUAGACUGGGGCAUGCCGACACUAUUGGCACAAAAGGAAGUAGGAACACUCCUGCAAGGAGCCUGUUCUACAUGUUGGGACACAUUAGCACACAUUAGCAGAUGGAGUAUUAGCAGUACAUGGAUUGCCAUCAAAAAUGCCAGUGCAACAUGAAAAUUCGUCCUGUUGAGAUACUGUCAAAUUUAAUUUAAAUAUUAAAAUUCAUGGAUUUGAUAAUUAAAAUGAAUGAUUUCAGUACAUCUGCUACUUUCCAAAAUGCAUAUCAAAACAACGGAAACAUAUAUCCACAUUGACUGCUUAAAACUAGUAAUUACUGAAACCUGGAGUGACACUACCACACUAAUACUUGCAAAAUCAAGGUGAUACAGCACAUACUUUAACAAAGUGCACCAAAGAAAAAAGAAUAACUAUAGGCAAAGAAAAUCAAACCAGCAGUCCCCCAGCAUUCCUAAGACCGCGCCAAGUUGUGAACACAACUCUUGGGAAUCUCCUGCUGCUUUUAGUUGCUCCCUGAUAUCUUCCGCACAAAGACUAAGCCUUGAUUUUGCACUUUCGAAAUUCUGUGCACGAAAAGCCUGCAGAAGAAAGAGAAAACAGAACUUUUAAAUGGUCAUACAAUUGCAGAGGAAUAACAAUAAAAGAUAAAUAUGUUGCAUUGUCAUCACUCUAACCCUCAUUGCUUGUUGCACCAAAAAAGCACCCCUCUCCAUGGAGACAUCCUCAUAUAUUACUUUUUUCUGCCCAUCUCCUACUUCUCUUGCAUCUUCACUUAAUUGAGACCUCUUGAUUCUAGCAUGACCAUCAAUAAAGCGAUCAACAAUGGUUUGAAGAUCUGUGUCAGGUUCAAUGUUCUCUAUAUCAGCACCACAGAGUGGACAGUCCUUAAAGCGCGAUAUGCAUGCUCUGUUCAGAUAAUCAACAAGUUAGCACAUUUCAGAUAGCAAUGUAAGCGAGUAAUCGUCUUUGUAUGCAGUACCCACUUGCAAAAUUUAUGGGAGCAAGGCAAACACUUGCUACUUUGAUAAAGCAAGGCCUGGCAGAUCAUGCAGCUUAGAGGACCCAAUUUGAAUGUAUGAGAGUCAUAGCCAAAAGGGCAUUUUGGUGAGACAACAGAAUCAUUGCUCUUUGCGUCGACUUUGUCGUCAUGUUCCUUCUGAUCUUUAUGUUGAUUUUUCUCAAUUUUCACUGGGCAGCUACCGCCAACAGUAGCUGUUUUAGCAAACGGGCAGGCAGAAGUCAUAUUGCUCACGUAUUGCCUGAACAAAUAGAUCACCAUCAAGUGUUAUUAUAGAAAAUUGCGAAUUUCACAUAUAUGCCAAAUUAAUGAAAGUAAUAAAAUGCUAAGGACAGGGAUCAACAAUCACCAUUAAAACAUGAAGCAGAAAUUACGUCAACAAUAAAAUACUUCAAGAAUAGCCAUUUGCAUACAUUAGUUUUUUUAUUUUAACUUGAGUUUACGAACACACCGGUUAAAAAUAUGUCGACUGACAACUGCAAAGCACCAUCCAGUACAGUAAUAUGCAAUUCUAUAUGAUUUGAGUGCGGUCAAGUCACAAAUUAUCAUUAGUACUCCGUAUGUUGUAGAAACACCAGAAACACCAUUUUACAUUCCACCACCUGAAACUCAACUACGAUCCCACAAAACUACAAUUGUUUGUCCCCUUAUUUUGUACAAAAUAAUAUCAAAUACAAUUCAUCCAUGCAGUUUCAAUGGGUCACAUGCAUAUUUACAUGCUAAUUACUGUAUUGAUUUUUUCCCCCUUUUUCCUUAAUCACGGGUGGAAUCAUACAUCACUCACGGAAUCACACAUCCUCUUAUUAAAAUAUAGCCCGUCAAUUUCCUUUUCAAUUCUUUAUCAGCUACACAGAAGCCCUAAAGUGAUUAUUGUUAGCAAAAUAAUUAGACACGUUGAGUGUUCACUUGCCAUUCAUAUAAAUUAGUUCUUGAAAAACCAAGAAAAAAUAAAAAAUCAUUGGCCAAAAAAAAAAAACCCCUCUGAGAACAAUACAAGAUAGGGUUUUGCAAUGCCUCUUUCCCGGUCAAAUUACUUGUUUCCAACACAAAUUAGUUCGCAAAGAAACCCUAAUCUCCCAUUUGAACAUCCUAAAUUCAUCCAACUGCAUACAUAACACACAUAAUGAAAUCAGAUCAAAAUAUUUCUCAUACUAUCACAUACGAAGAGAGUUAGCAAAGAAUCGUUCGUUAAACGCCAAAACCAUCAAUUAAACUACGAAUCCACGGGAAAACACGAUGAAAUCACGAAAAAGAUAUAAUAGCGAAUGCGAAUUGCAAAUCUAAGUUAGGGUUUCGAUCGAUGCUUUACCUCUUGCUUCGCCCUAAUUCGUGCCCUCGUUUCUCUUCCACAGGAUUCCGUGUAAGCAGAGGAUAAAAAUGGCGUCGGAGAGAGAGAGAGAGAGAGAGAGAGAGAGAGAGAGAGGGAGUGGAAAUGAGAUUAGAGAGAGAGAGAGAGAGAGAGAGAGAGAAAGAGAGGGAGUGGAAAUGAGAUUAGAGAGAGAGAGAGAGAGAGAGAGAGAGAGAGAUGGGGAUCGAGAGGCUAAGAAUGAGAUCGAAUUAAUGAGUGGGUAGCGCUACAUGGGAAUGCACUGGGUACAAGUACAACCACAUACGCUUUAACCGGUACGCGCGCGGUGCUGAUCACUCCGUUCAUUAUACGUGAGAUGAAUCACAACCGUCCACCUUCGACGGUACGGAUUAAUCUCACUGCGAACGAGCGGCGUGAUCUACUCCGUGCGUAGCGAUUCCUACGCACUGGGUUGUAAAUAAACCCGAACCCUCGGUGGAUCCCCAAGUGACAGCGUGAAACUGUUGCUUGCACCGGGUGCAUAACUACACCUUAUACACCGGCCUCUAAGAAUACUGAAAAAAAACUCAAUGCCGAUUUAGAAAAUCAAAUUUUAAUUUCUUGGAUGAUAAUAUUCCGACAUUAAUAUUUUAUAUAAAUUGAACAAUAUAUUUGUUUUUGCACUGGUAAUAUCAGAGUUAAUGCUUCAAUAAUAAUUUUUUAAAAUUUCAUAAUUUAUUAUAUAUUAGUUUCGCAGAUGGUGUAUAUUAUAUCUAUAGAAUUGGAUUUUUAAUUUUAAGAUAAUAAUAAAAAAACAUUAGGUGCAGUGCACAAAACACAUGGCUACACCGGAUGCAGGCAUGAUUUCUUGGAAGAAGGGAGAGGCUACAAAUUGGAUGCGGUCUACCACGUCAUCUGAGAAAUUUUUGACUGGAUCUGGUGUAAUAGACCGGCCUGGGCUCCAGAAUUAUGGGCUCCACGCAUAAUAUUAAAAAAAAAAAAAAUUGAAGAGAUUUUUUUUCCUUUUCUUUAAAAAGAAGGAAAGAAUUUUAGGUAAAGAGUGCUUUUCAUACAACAGACCAAGUACUAGACUUCGAAAAUAAUCACAUUAUUUAAUAAGAGAUUUUUUUUUUCGCAUAUCAGUUCUUAAUGAUUUUAUUUAUCUUAUUAAUGUGUUACCAAUAUGAUUCGGGUUUAACUCUGGUCCGCAUUAAAGAGUUUGGACUGCGGAUCAAAACCUGAUCCAGAAACUCAAAUUUAUUCCAAAAUUGAUCUAAAAAAAUAGAAACCCUAUUAGGAAUGAGGGUAGCUAAUAUGAAUAAGUCCAUAUGCUAAAUUAAAUGUAAAUUAACGAAACAUCUUCAGCGAAAGCGAGAACAGUAGCGAUCUAAAUGAAUAUAAUUGAUACAAACAAAAUCACAUGCACAUAGGAGUUUUUAUCCGGACAAAAAAAAUCACUUACUGAACCGAACCGAUCCGAAUUAUUAGAAACAAUGAUGUGUUUUUUGAAGCUGUAUCCAUUCAUUUGUCAUAAUAUUUUCUCAACACCAAAGAUGCUGUGUUGUUCGGCCCAUUAUGGCCCAUAUACUGCUACAGUAAUAAACUUUUAUCCAAAUCUCGGGCUCGGUCCAGUAGGCUAAUGGGCCGUACCCGGCCCAUUAGUAGCCCCAAGUGGCAUCCCCUUUUUUUUUUUUUUUUUUUUUUUUUUUUUUUUUUGUUCCAAAUAUCUAACUUUAAAAUCUCUCAAAAAAAAAUAAAAAUUCUAACUUUAAACUUUCUGACACAUUUCAAUUCAAAUGGGGGCUCGAACCUCUAACCUUAUGAUCUGUAUUUGGGCAGUGUUUAAAGUAAUAAUACAGGAAAAGAAACUUUAGUUGGCUCGAAAUUUCCGACGAAUUCUCUACUUAUGAAUGAUAUUUAUAUACACAUUUUUAUUUUUUAUUUAUUCCCAUAAUUAAAUUGGACAAUCUCAUAUUACGAACUAUUCACACCAAUUUCUUCUUGUAUUAGUUUUCUCUCUCUGUGUGUGCUUCUCAUUUUGCAUUACAAAUGAUUGGUAAAUUCAUAUUUUGUUAAAAUGAGAGAGAAUUUGAGUUAUAAAAAUCCUACAGAAUAACGUUACCACAAUAUAAAUAUUGGACCUAGGUAAUCCCUAGAGAAAAAAAGGCUAUUUUUACAAAAUUCAUUGAAUUUCGUAAAACUAAGUUGAUAAAUAAUAACAAAUUUUAAUAAAUUUAUUUUUUAAUUUCAAAAUUCACUUUUUAGUUUCUAUUUGCACGUGGAAGUGUUGUGAAAAGUUUUGCGAGUACAAAAGCAAGCAAGGUGUGACAUCGAUGAUGACGUAAGCACAAAUGCGUUGCUAUCCUCAUCUUUUAGUCAACAAGAACUUUCCGACCAAUUGAAAUUAGGCAAAAAUUUUAUGGACAUAGUCUCAAACUUAAAGUUUUGGGGCAAUGCAGAUGGGCGCGCGCGGCGCGCAUCCUCGCCCUCCCCUACGAGGAAAAAAAAAAAAAAGUGGGCCUAAAAUUUGUAAAGAGAGAGAAAAAAAGAAGUUGAUGGAAAGAGAAAGAAAGAAGCUGAUGAAAAGAGAAGGGAGGGCGAGAAUGGGCGCGCGCGAGCCAUGCGGCGCCCAUCCGUAUCAUCCCGAAACUUUUAGUUUGGAAACGAUGCCCGUACAAUUUUUGCCCAUUGAAAUUAUUUGACAUACCAAUUUAAAUUGGAGUUAAGAUAUUAUUUUUAUAAUUUGUUAAAUUAUAAUAAUUACCUAUUGAAAUUGUUUGACAUACCAAUUUAAAUUGGAGUUGAGUUAUUAUUUUUAUAAUUUGUUAAAUUAUAAUUUUUUAAAUUUUUUAUCUAAAAAAAUAAUUUUUCAAAAUUGAUAUUGAAUCCUUGACCAAAUUGAACAUCUCGUGUGACAACAAUAAAACUUUUUCAUCCGAAAACAACAUAGUAUGCAACCUUUAGAGCAUAUUUAGAUGACCAAAUUUAGUACAUAACUGAGUGACAUAUUAUAUUAUCUCUGAGAUUGUGCCUAACUCAAUCACAAGAGGAUAAGUUAAUUUCUUUUUACUUUUCUGCUUUUAAGAAUCAAAAGUUUAGCAUUCUGUACUAAAUCUAUCAUAACUGUAUCUUUCUACUAAUUAGUGAAUCUGCAUCUAGAGAAGGUCAAUUAACUUAGAACCGUUAAGUUGCCUUUUGAGUUGCCAAAAUUGAACAAAUGAAGGGCAUUUGUAAAAACACAAUGGUGUGUUAUUAAGUCAAAUGAUCAAUGAUAAUUCAUAAGAAAGAGCUAAUAUGAAUUUUCAAGGGUAGAAAAGUAAAUUCACACUAAAUGUGCAAGGAAUAUAGAUGGUAUAUUCCCCUAAAUCCAGGUCUAAAUAAGCUUUAUUUCUUUUCAAUCAAUUCAUUCUAUGCUUUUUUUCGGCUCUUGCUUGAAUUGGGCUUAAUUUUGACCAAGCACUCAACAACAAUUUUUGGAAACUAAUUACAUCUCAACAAAAGGAUUGAUUGAUUGAUUGAUUAUUUAUUGCUAGCUAAAAUUAAUUUCUCUAUUUAUCUAUAUAUCCUUUUCAUAGUAUUGAGUUAUGCUUCAGCAUUCUUAGCAUAAGUAAGAAAUGAUUUAUAUCGCGGUUGUUGAUUCGUUUAAUUGAAGUUUCUACAAAAUAUAUUUUUCGGUUUAAUUAUUAAAUAUUUAUAAAAAUAUUGUAUUAUUUGUAAUAUGGCAGUUUCCUAUUGAACUAAUGCUUUUUAAAAGAUUUUUAUUUUUAUACUUGUGAACAAUAUGAAAAUAAUGUUACAGCUGUUCCAUUAUUGUAUUAUUUGUAGAAGAAAGGUUUUUUGUUACAGCUGUUCCAUAUGAAAAUAACAAUAUUUUAGUCAAAAGCCUCUACUUUCUAAACUUUUUUUUUUUUUUUUGAAGCAUGAUGUUAAGACAAAAUUACUAUGUGUACAUAUGCCCAUCAUUAGACUUUUAUGUUGAUUGAUGCAAUUAAUAGCACCAAGUCUUAUAUGGAGUUAAAUGAGAAAAUACUUUAUAUAACAUUAAACUAUCACCUUUGAGGUCAUUUGACCACUAAGUAAAUCGUGUUGAAAAAUUACAAAAUUCACUUGCUAGAAAGCUUAAAUACCGUACAUUAUAGUUAUCAGUGUUGAUUAUCAAAUCUAAAGUUCUAUCGUCGAAAGGAGCCUACAAAAUUAAAAACUCGAUGUUAUUAAUAGUAAGUAAAAAUGUAUCGAACUUAUCUCAACUAUCAUCAAUUUUGAUCUUACCAUCUAAUAUUUAAAAUUUUGGAUUUCUUUUUCUAAUCUGUUAAAGUUAUUUGAUUUAUAUAUAUCGUUUAUUUUUAUGGAUUUAAUUAAUUAGUAUAUUUAGUGCAAUUCAAGCAACUAUAAUUUAUCAAAAUAAGCAAUUAAUUUAAGUUUUUUUUUUUUAUUGGAAGAGCCAUCAAAUAAUAUAGAUCAAAUAGCUUGAAGAUUACGUAUUAAAAUUAAAAUUUUGAAAGGUUACAUAAUCAAAUCAAAAUGCUCUAUAGUAAAUUUAGAUUAACUCUAUACAUUUUCAGCUUACUGGCAUCUUAUUUUUUUGCUUUAAAAAAAAAUGCCAUCAGUGAUUUACACCCUUAACAUCCAACCAUUCAACCUAAGCGGGUAGCGUGCUACCUAUCUCUCUCUCAAUUAAAAAAAAAAAAAAAACAUCCAACCAUUCACAAUUUUUUUUUUCGAGUUUUAAUAAAGAAAGAAAAAUCGAUAACACUGGGGUCUGGGAGUAUGCAAAUAUGAUAUGCAGUUUACGAAUAUAUAGACGGUAUACUCUAUAAUAUAAAUAUUAAACAUAAUUAUUUAUUUUCACUAGGGACUUUUGGUAUAGAAACUCAUGAAAAAUGAACAAAAGAAGUCCAAAAACUUGGCACAGUAUUGAAAUUGAUGAGACUUCUCCCGACGUGAUUCGUCACCUAACUUUUUCUCUCACUUUCUUGAAAAAAAAAACCUACAAUAUCACAGUUGUACCAUAUCAUUAGUAACAAAUAAAACACAUAAAUUUUUUUAAAAAUAUAAUAAAUAAAUAUUUUUAUUAAAUAUGAUGAGACGGAUAAAAUUUUGAAAAAUAAUUUUAUUAAUUAAAAAUAUCAUAGGAGUAAUAUAAUUCGUGCAUUUUAAAAUUUUUUCCUCUCCUGCACUUUCCACGAGCUGGGAAAAUCUGAUAACAAGUUUCCACUGUACGUACGUGGGCGUCGGCGUUGGCGUCGGCGCCACCCUUACGAUUGAAACCAGCUUGCACACGUGCGGAAAAGACCGAGCCUGAGGACGAAACACGAAUUGCGGAUAAGCAUCACAGAGGGGAAGGUGAAGCGGAUGUAGACAAUGACGUCAUCUCGGAUACCAACGGUACAAGCUACAUGCCCACAUCCAUCUCACCCCUUUCCUCCCCACCCCAAACUUUUCUCCGCCCCUUUCCCCGGAUUUCCACGCGAAUAUCCCCCUUCCCUCCCAAAAAUUUCCAUGAAGUAACAAAACAAAGAGCCUUUUGCAGCAAUUCUUAGGUUAAAAAAAAAAAAAGAAAAAAAAAGAAAAAACUUCAAAAACCUCUCCUGUGGUUUCGUAGUUUCUCACUUUAUCCCCUUGUGGUUUCAAAUGUAUCAAUUUAUCUUCCUGUGAUUUUUUUUUCUUUUUCUUAUCAAUUUCAUUAUUUUUUUCUUAAAUCAGUGAUAAAUUUAAUUUAAAGGGUACUAAAGUGAAUAUUUGAUAAAUCUAGAUGAGUAUCUGAAAUUUUUUUGUAUAUAAUUUAAUAAAAUAUUAACGAAAAAACUACUGAAAAAUAAAAACGAAACCACAGGGGGGCAAUUUGAUACAUUUUAAACCACAGGGGGGCAAAGUGAGAAACUAUGAAACCAUAGGAGGGGUUUUUAAAGUUUUCCCAAAAAAAAAAAUAAAUACCAUCUCUAUAAUUUCAUAUUUUUUUAUUUUAGUAUUUUAUAAUUUAAAUUAUAUCAAUUUAGUAUUCCGUAAUUUUAUUUUAUUAUUUUAUUAUUUUUUUGUUAAAUCAACCGCAAAGUUAAAGCCAAAAGAUAGUAAAAUGAAUAUUCGAUAAAUAUAGAUAGAAUAUUUGAAGUUUUUUAUUGUAUAUAGUUUAACGAAAGAACUGACGAAAAGAAAAAAAAUGAAACCACAAGGUACUAAAUUGAUACACUUUAAACUACAGAAGUAGUAUUUGAAGUUUACCAAAAAAAAAUACAAAAUAUAUCUGAACUAUACACAAUUUUGAUAGUUAGCUUUUUUUAAUGUGAUAGUGAAAAAUAUUAGUUUUAUAUUAUAAAAAAUUUUAAAAUUUUAAAAAUAUUUUUAAUCUUCUUUGUUUUAUAUUAUAUAAAAUUACUGUUACAAAUGCGACAUAGAACCGCAAUUUUAAAGUAUUAUAAGAGGAAAGAUUAUAAACAAUUUUAAAUUUUUUGAGCUACCUAUAGUAUAAAAAUAGUAUUUUUUGUCACCGUAUUGCCAAAUUAGGGUGAGUCGACUAUUUAAUUUUUUUUUAAAUUUUAUUUUAGUAUCUAGUCUUUUAGUUUGUUUGAUUUAAGUCCGACGGCAACAAUUUGACAUAAAAAAAAUUAAGCUAAUUAUUUAUUUUAAUAAAUUUAUAGUUACAAAAAUCGCAUAAAGUAUACUAAUUAAACAUAAAGAUAAAUAACCCAUUUAAAAUUUAAAAUUAAAGUGCCAAUUAAAAUUUUGUAAGGUUGGAUAAAUUUGGUACGUUUGUGUUAUAUUUUUAUUUUGUCGCUUUACAUAUAAAAAAUUAUACUUAUUUAUUUUAUAAUUUUAUAAUUUUAUAAUUUUAUUUUUAUUUUGAUCGUAAGAUGUAUAGUUAAAUAGAAUAGUAAGAUAUUAUUUUUGACAAAUUCCAUAAUGAUAUAAGAUACCAACGUUUUGUCCUGUUUAACGAAAAGUUUUUACAGUAAAAUAAAAGGUAAAAUUACAGAGUAACUCACUAAAAUAUCUUUAUGUUAAAUUAAAGUUUUACCAGAAAAAACAAAACUGACCGUUCAUUUCAGUUUGACCACGCUCCAGAUCGUCAAUGCUCGAUCUGCUUUGACCCACAGCUUUUUGUCCCGACGCAGACGCUAAAGAGCGCAGCCAUGCCUGGACCCGGUCCACCGUGCAGCAAAGAACCUAAAAGUGCAAAAAUCAUGCAUGUGGUUUAUUUGUUAGGAUACGUUUCAAACGCUAAUAUAUUAAGAAAAAAUCUGAACUAUUUUUCUAUAACAUUAAUUUUAUUUUAGCAGAUUUUGAGUUUGAUUCCCGUAUCUGCUGUUUAUUAUGGUGUGACCUAUUUAGUAUCUGCUACAUGCAUACAUGAGCGAAAGUAUUGAAUUUAUUGCUUUUAUUAGAACGAACAGAACGUGACAAAGGGUUUGGUGAUUGAUACCGGAGGUUCAAAAUUCGAAUCCUAAUUGAUUCACAUUUUUAACUAAGUUUAUUUCUAAAUAGUAUAAACGAAGCGGGUAGCAUGCUACUUAUCUCUCAAAACCAAAAAAAAAAAAACAAAAAACAAAACGUGGUCUAUGGUGGACCGGGACCAGGGAAUGGUACGUCGACGAACGGUAGGCGAGCGAACCUUCCGCAACCCACCACGCCACUACGAGCUCGCUCGGGCCACCACGUGUCCGCCUUCUGGCGGGCCCCACCACGAGAAACUUGUGAAUAAAGAGAGGAGGCGAAUCCUCGGUCAUCUCUGACGCCUACGUGCCACGCCGCCACUUGUCACGUGCCUGACGCCUGGGCCCCACCACACUCCCCCCCGUCCCGACCUCGGCGCCACCACGUGUCGCCUCCGCAGUGAACGAUAUCCCCCACCGCGAGGAAAAAGCCGAGGCGAGGGUGAACACGAGGACGUCCACGUCACCACCACACCACACAUCCCCCCCUCUUUCUCUCUCUCUAGAAUCUACGAGAUAUAUAUAAAUCCCCCCUUGCAUUCACCUCCCCUGAACUCGUAGCAGCAGCAGCGCAAGCCCACACGAAAAGCGCUUCUCUCAGAAGCUAUCCACGUUUUCGCAAAAUUCGUUCUUAUCCGCUUCUUCGGAAAGCGCUCGAGCUAAUCUCACAUAGAAGCUAAAAUUCGAGCUGUGAAUUGAAGCUCGAUCGAGGGGUGAAGGAUGGUGAAGGAGAUGCGGCGAGCCGACGCGGAGGCGCAGCUGAACCUGCCACCUGGGUUCCGGUUCCACCCGACUGACGAAGAGCUCGUCGUCCACUACCUGUGCCGGAAGGUCUCCGGCCGCUGCCUCCCCGUCCCGAUCAUCGCCGAGGUCGAUCUCUACAAGUACGACCCGUGGGACCUCCCAGGUAUCUAUCUAUCUAUCCAUUUCUGUUCAUAAUGAACUAUUUUGUUUUCUAUUAGAUUGAUCUUUUGGAUAAGUAUGAAUUUUUUUUUUCUUCUUUCUUUAUGAGCAGAGAGGGCGCUGUUCGGGCAAAAGGAGUGGUACUUCUUCACGCCGCGCGAUCGGAAGUACCCGAACGGGUCGAGGCCGAACCGGGCGGCGGGAAGGGGGUACUGGAAAGCGACGGGGGCGGAUAAGCCGAUCCGCCCGUCGGGGAGCAACCGGCCGGUCGGGAUUAAGAAAGCCCUGGUAUUCUACCACGGGAAGGCGCCGAAGGGGAUCAAGACCGAUUGGAUCAUGCACGAGUACCGUCUCGCAGAGGCGAACCGCGCUCCCGGAGGGAAAAAGGGCAACUUGAGGGUAUGCAAAUGAAUCCGCCCUUGCUUAUUUUCUAUGGCACUACUGUACUGACUUCGGAUCGUAAAACAGAGUUCAAAAGUUAAAAAUUUUGUUUGUUCGUUUGUUUAAUUUUGUGCAGUUGGAUGAUUGGGUACUGUGCCGGCUGUACAACAAGAAGAACAGCUGGGCGAGAACGGCGGCGGCGGAUUCGAUGGAGACGAGCCACGACGCGGGGUCGGAGGCGAUCAACACGCCGGAAUCGGACAUCGACCACGACGACUACCACCUGUUCGACGAAAUGGCCGGCACCGGAGCCCUGCAGUACCGCCCGUUCGAUCAAAUGCCGCAGCUGAGGCCGACCGCGGCGGGCGGAUUCCCGAUUGUGGAGAAGAAGGAGGAGAGCGAUUGGUUCACGGAAUUGAACCUGGAAGACCUGCAGAGCUCUCUCGCCGUGUUCGGCUCCGGCGCGGCGCCGUCGCUCGACGUGUCGAGCCAAGAUUACUUCUUUUCGGGGUUUUGAGACAAGCAGGGUUGUGAAUGACUCUGUAUAGAUAGAUAGAGUAGGAGUUCAAAAGAGACCGAAAGGAAGGGAGAGAAAACACAGAGGGGAGAGGCAAAGAGGUUCAAACAAAUACUAGAUUAGGAUUUCUUUUUAGAUUCCCUUCUUUUUCUUUUUGAUUUUUGUCAUUUUUAAUUUUUUUUCAGGGGGAGAGGUUAUGUGUGUGUGUAUAUAUGUAGCAUGACUUAGUUGUAGAAUGGUAUAAUUUUGUUCCUGUUCUGAAACAGUGGCAGUAGAAGAGAUAUGUAAAAAUUGUUGGGGAGAUCUAAGUCACCUAACAAUGUAUGCGAUGUUCAUGAUCAUGAAGUUGGAACAGAAAUAAAUUUGCGUUCUCUUUCUCUUAUCAAUAGUUUUCUACACUUAAAAACAAGUUGAUCUCCAAAAGAAAAAUAUUUGAUGCGAACGAUUUGGCACCGGAUAUAUGGAAAAGUGAAAAAUACAAAGUCCAACUAUUAUACUAUUAUAAGUAUAAACUCUUUUGUAUUCAUAAGUUUUUUACCGUUAGAUUUAUCUUUUUAUCAUUUCUAAUCAUUGAAUCAUACUAUUCAAUCAGCCAUCCACUCAACCCUAGAGAACCACUAUCAUUCUAACUGUACAUCUUUUAUUUGACGGUCGAAAACUUAUGAUUAUAAAGGGAUCUAUACUUAUAAAAUAUGUUAGUCCUAGCCGUAGAUUUAUACCCUUUUUGGAUGUUGAUUUUAGGAAGAGAAACGUGAUUAUUUUUGCAGGUCAGUUUUGGUUGUUAAAUUUCAACUCAUAUACAGAUGUGUUAAAAUAAUACAAUUGCCCAAAGUUGAACAACAACGCAAGCUUAGUUUACUUGCUUUUGUAGGCGUGAUAGAAUAAAAGGAGAAAAAAGAAGGUUCAAUAUUUUUGGAAUUCAAAACGAAAAGCACACAAUAUGUUGUCGCGAUAAUAAUAUAUAUUAUUUGGUCCAAUAAUCAUAUUAUUUGCAAACCCAUUUAGUUCAACAAACACUUAAUGUAUUAAAUUUUUAUUUCUUACCUCGUAUAUUCUUAAGCAAGUUACGCAUAUGUGGCACGAACAUAGAACUCUCAUUUUAACCAUUUUCUGCUAGAUCAAUUUUUUCACACAAUGAUCAAAGAAAUAUAUAUAUAUUUUUUUGAGAGAUAGGAAGCAUGCUACUCGUUUCGUUUAUUUUAUUUAAAAAUAAACUUAGCUGAAAAUGUGAAUCAACUAGAAUUGGAACUUGGAUCUCAGGUACCAACCAACAAACCCUUUACAUCUUGCUCUAGGGACGGUCGGUAUGAUCGAAGAAAUGUUGAUCGCAAAAGGGGUGCGGAUACAUGAACUUCUUCAAGUGUAUUACUGUUGUCACAAAUCAAGGAAAUUCUAAUCAUUCAUCAAGUUCUAUACUAUGUUUUCCCUGCAAGUAUGCUAGGGUAUAUUCGUUAAAAAUUUGAGGAGAAAGAUGAAGUUUCAAAAGGAAACUUUUGAGCAUUCACCUACUAGGAUAUGCUGGACUCAAAAGCAUGAACUCUCAAGUCACCUACUGCUGCAGUAAUCACUACUUUGAUUAGGAGAGACAACAUUUAGUGGGAAAAGAUAUUGCUUUGGCGAGUUCGCCGAUUAAUUUGUCGUCGUCUUCAUUAAAAUGUAUUAGACAAACAAUCACAUGGAAAACUUGUUCAAAGCACAUGAUGUGUCUCCAUUAUGUACCUAACACCUGACAACAUAUCUUCUUUCACUACUGACAUAUCUCAAGACAACUUUAGGGGCCUUUUUGGUUUGGUAAUAACUAAUGACCAAAGUAGCACAUCUUUUACAAAUAAUAAGGAAAUUAAUUAUCAAGCUAUGUUUAAACAUGCAUAGUUCUUUUGGGACCCAAAAGGUCCUCUAAAGUGUAGUUAAUGAUACAAAUUUUUAAUAUGAUAUAUAAUUUAGUUGGAUAUUAAAGUGCUUGUUCUGAAUUGACUAAGCAAGUAAGCUUAGCUCUUAUUUUUAUAUUCAAAAUUCUAUUGUAAACAUCAAUACUCCAACACUUGUCCACCACACAAACGAGCCAAAUAUUAUGCUACAUUAAAAAAAAAAAAAAACUACAACUAUUAAUUGCUUUGGAAUGUUACGAAAAGAAAUCAAAUUAUAAUCAAAAUCACGAAUAAAGGUGCAUGGCCAAUUCUGAUUGAUUCUCCACAUUUGCCGACCUUGUAUAAUCGAAUGUCUUACUCAUAAUAUAUAGGAGAUUCUAUAUAGAUAACAUUUUUUUUUUAAUGCAAUUGAAUCCCAUUUUAUAUUUUUAUUUUCUUUGUACAAUCAUGUAGUCCACUUAACAAGUUACAACUCCACUUAUUAACCGCCAUUCUGGAUUCUGGAGGGUUGACUCAUCAAACAAAUGGGAUACCUCCAGGGGUAAAUUUGGUUCCCCAAAAAAUAAUAUAAAAAAACAACUUUUUGAUUAGAAAAACAUUUUCCCUAACAGUCUUUUUUUUUUUUUUUAUUCAUAAGAAAAUCUCCUUUUCAUCUGUAAAAGAGCAACACACUGAAAAUAUAUUUAUUUCUCAAAAAACAUUUUUUUAUAAUUUUUUAAGAAACCAAACACCUUCUUAAGCACCCAUACAACCCGGGGCGGGUACCUCGUAACAUUUAUCCAUAAAUUUUUGAAUAGAUAAUAUUUUUACAUAUACCUACCUGCAAGAGGGCCUUGCGGGCAAAUAUGCAGGUUACCGGCAAGAUUCUUUUCUUUUUUUUUUUUGCUUCUAUAAUUUUCAAAUAUAUAUAUAUAUAUAGUUCGGCUACUGUGCUAUCAAUAGCACGAAGCACUUGGUGCUACAAAAUUUUUCGCCGUUAGAUCUAUUAUUUUGAUAAUUUUCACCUGUUAGAUCAUACUAUUCAACCAACAACCCACUCAACCCUAGGGGGUCCACAUCAUCCUAACCGUACAUCUCUUAAUCCAAUGGCCAAAAACUUGGUAGCAUCAAUGACUUGGUGCUAUUAAUAGUAUAUUAGCUAGCCUAGUUAUAUAUAUAUAUAUAUAUAUAUAUAUAUAUAUAUAUAAUUUUAAAAGUAAAAGAUAACUUGUUAUUUAAAAAUAUCACAAUAUUAACAAACAAUAUAUUUUAUCAUUCUAACUUUUCUCGAUACAAAAUAAUAAAAUUUUCCUAAUUAUAGUCCAUAUUAUAAAAAUUAUAUAAUUUUUAAUUAAAACAUAUGUCUGCGAAUAUGCGUGAGUAUCCGUAGAUUGUCCAAAAUACCCACAUCUUACUGGAUACUAACCCAUUUUACAUUAUAAUUUUUUGAAUAAAAAAAAAUAGUAUCAAUAUCCGUAAAUUUACAAAUUAUCUAUGGACAUAAAUAGAGAUCGCCAGAUCUAAGCACCCUAAUAACAUUACUCUCAAACAAAUUUAAUUCUCUAAUAACUUUUCAUUACUUUUUAAAUUUUUUUUUUUUUUUAAUCUUGUGAAUAUUCUACUUGUUUCUAUCUCUCUGACGAUGACUCUUGCUCUCUCUAGUCUCUCCUUUGGACAAGUGGUUUAUAAAGUCGGUUUAGUUCCAGAACACGUGCUCGCGACAAGCGAUGAGGAAGAGAUCCACCUCUCUCUCGGGGUGGCUUUUGCAUCUCCACGUGUUGCGCGAGUUUAAUGCGAACAAGUCAUAAUAAAAUCAAAAAGUGCGAGAGAGAGAAUACCACCUAGCACGUAAGGACACAUGACUCACGCUUUUUUCUUUUUUUUUUUUUUAACCUGAUUUAUUCUGUUUCUAGUAGCUUCCAUCCACGCACUUAAUCAGCCCCUGCUUGAUGAUAACAUGGAUUUUAAUUGUGUUUAGAUGGAAUAGUCGAUUCCCCCACCCCUUAUAACUAUUUAAUUUUUAGAAUUUAAAUUUUAAAAUUUCAAUUCUGAAAAUUUUAUGAUUUGUAAUCCUAAAAUUAAAAUUUAUAAUUUUAAUUUCUAAAUUCUAAAUUUUAAAUUUUUUAAAUUUAAAAUUUGAUAUUUUACAUUUUAAAAUUUAGAUUUAAUUUUAAAUUUUAAAUUUGGAGCUUUGAAUUUUUUGAAUUUGAGUUUUAAAAAUUCUAAUUUUUGAAUUUUUGAAAUUUAAAAGUUAUAUAUAUUAAAAUUUAAAAAUUUAAAUUCAAAUAUAAUAUAAGAAGCAGUAUCAUUGUUUUCUAUUUAUACCUACCAACUAUAUUUUUAUUUUAUCUUAUCUAUCUAAACAUUAUUUUUCUUAUUUUCAGAAACAACUCAAUUUUCAUCUAAAUGCAAAAUUGAGCUAGUUCUUAGUUUUUACUCAUAUAUGAAUUUGUAUCUAUUCUUAAAAUAGACAUUUCUUAUUUAUACCCGAACCAAACGAAGUCUUAAGAAGAAUAAAUCAAAAAAAAACCUGCCACAGCAGGUCCAAGCAUCUUUGUAGGUCGGUAGAAGCAAACAAAUUUAAACCAAGCAAAAAUCUGCAAAUUCGACAUGAGGUUCACAAAAGAAUUUUGCGAUAGAGAACAUGCCCACGGUUCAAAAGAGUGAAUCAAUGUAUUUCGCCACUCUGAAGGUGAUAGAAUCCUAAAUAUCUUCUGAAACCGACAAAUCCACCUCCGCAAUGUGAAUAUAUGGGAUUUAAAAGCAAAAAAGAUAGUAUGACACAUCAAACUUUUGAAGGGUAAAUAUACUCCUGGUCCCUGAACUUCAGGUCGAGUUGCAUUUGGGUCCUCAAACUUUUGAUUUUGACAUUCAAGAUUCUAAACCUUCAAGAAGAUUUCAAUUUAGUCCCUAAAGUUUUAACAAUAUCUCAUUUUAGUACCUUAAGGUAAAAUAUUGCUUGCAUGUAAUUCAAGACUUUUUUUACAAAUAAUCCUCUAUAAUUUUAUAAUUUGCAAAAUAAUUCUAUCAAAUUUAUAUUUGGUAAACUAACCCUCUAUAUACGGUGAUCGUUCACCGCAUUCUGAAAGACUCCAAGAUUAUUUUAAAGACGGUGAAUCGUUCACCGCAUUCGUUAAGACGGUUAAUGAUUCAUCGCGUUCUUUAUAAUUUUCUUUUACACGGUGAGGAUUAUAUAUGAAAAUGAAAAAAAAAAAAAAAGUUGGUUAAAAUUGUACAUAGAUUAUAUGAAAAAUAAAAAAAGUGAGGUUGUUAAGUUUGUAUAUGAAAGUGAGGUUGUUAAGUUUGUAUAUGAAUUAUUAGAAUUUUUAUUUAAUUGUUAGGAUUGUAUGGAUAGAUUAUUAGAAUUUUCAUAUAUAAUCCUCACCGUGUAAAAGAAAAUUAUAAAGAACGCGAUGAAUCAUUAACCGUCUUAACGNAAGAUUUUUUUUAUUAUUCGGAUUGUAUGGAUAGAUUAUUAGGAUUUUCAAGUUAUUAAGAUUAUAUGUGAUGUUUAAUUAUUAGGAUUAUAUGAAUAGAUUAUUUAAUUUUUUUUUAUUGUUAGGAUUAUAUAGAUAGAUUAUUAGAAUUUUAAGAUUGUUAAGAUUAUAUAUAAUUUUAGAAUUAUAUAUAGAAUAUAAAAAAAAGUAAAUAAAGGCAUAUUUGUUUCACCGAAAGUAGAUUUUGAGUUGAAGUGGAUUUUGGACUGAAGUGAAGUUCGAUGAAAACUACUUUUCGGUUAUUUGUUUCGUAGUUAUAGAAGUGAAGCUUCAUUAGUUUUACUGUUUAUUUGGUAGAAAGUGUAUAAUAUAAAAUUAUAAUUCAUAUAUUUAUAUAAUAAAUAAUUUAAUAAAUAAAAGUAAUAUAAUUGUAUUUUUAUAUAAUUUAAAUUUAAUUUAAAAUAGCUAAAUUAUUUUUUAUACAAAAAUUAUUAGUAAUAUACAACAAUAAAAUUAUAAAGUAAAAAAAUAUUAAUACUUAACUAAUCAAUUUUUAUCAUAUUUUAAUUGUACAAAUUAAAUAAAAAAAUAGUAAGACUUAAUUAAUCAAUUUUUAUUAUAUUUUAAAUAUGCCAACUGAAUAAAAGAAUAACUAAUACCAUAAUUAAAUAUAUUUAAAUAUACCCUUCUUUACCUAGUAUAUUAUUUUAUUAUUUUUUUCUUUACCUCCCUUCACCGUAAUUAACUUCGGUCCAUGAUAGGCCAAAGCCCAUUACGCAGUUUCAGAUUAGCUCGAGUUUCGAACCAAACAACGAAAGUGAUCGUUUAUGGUGAAAACAACUUUCCCCCUCUCCAUUUCCACCUCACUUUCACCCAAAAAAACAUGCCUUUAGUGAAAGACAGUGAAUAAUUCAUUAUUUUUGUGAAAAAUUAGAAAGGCGGUGAAUCAUUUACCGUUUUUAUGAAGGCGGUGAAUUAUUUACCGUCUUUAAAAGAAAAUUCCAACUUGACUCUUAUAUUGCACAAAGAGGGUUAAUUUUUUAAAUAUAAAUUUGACAAAGUUAUUUCGCAAAUACCAAAAUUUUAGAGAGUUAUUUGUAAAAAAGUCGUGUAAAUUCAACUGUAGGUGCGUAUUUUUCUACAAAAAAUGGACAGGUAGUCUUGAAAUGUGAGACGGAAAAAAGAAUAAAAAAAUUUGUGAUACCUAGACGUAAGGAUGCACUAGGUAUAGCCAGUAAUUCUUCCUUUCGUAUAAAAUAUAGACGAGGACUAAAGUGAAAUGGAAUCAUUAACGUUGAAAUUAAAAGUUUAAGGACCAAAAUGAAACUUAGCUGAAAGUUCAGGGACUAGCGGUGCAAUUCUUCCAAGUUUUAAAUAUAUCUUUUGCUACCACCUCCUUCAUCUCCUACAUCACAUUAUAUGAACUGUAAAUCUGAAUUCUGCUAACAAAAAUGACAGUAAAUUAACAAUCAUUAGGAUGACACAGAUAACAUGCAGCACAAUUAUGUCAUCAACCAAUUUACCGAAAAGAUAAAAUCAGAAAAGUAAAGAUGAAAACGAAAAGGAGAAGAGUUAUCCAGCAAUAAAGUGAUCCAGCAAUAAACAUACAAAGGGUUAAUUACUUCGGUAUAAGAGAACAAUGUGCCUAGCAUGAUGCUGAUAGUCUAGUAAAAGAAACUCAGGCCAUAAUCAGUAAAGAAGGAGACACUGCACAGCUAACUGGCAUAAUUAAACAAGACACUUUUUUUAAAAAAAAAAGAGAACCAGAAUGAAAAUCAGAUAAUACCAGUCACCAGAUGGGAAAUUACCAGUAACUUACAUGCAGUGAUCUUCCUAACGGAAGGAACGAUGCCGCUAGCCCGCAAUAGCAAUGCUGCCCUCUCCGACAAAAGUUCAUGUCUGAAUGGUUAUCACCAGGAAAUUCGGCCUUGUAAUUUCUGCUGACAAUGUGCUGCAGCAACUCGACAAGACUAUCAGAUACAAUUAUAAAUAGCAGUCGUGCUAGCAAUCGUAGCUGUAUAACGUUAAACUUGAAAAGACAAAAAAAAACAAAAAACAUGGAUAUGGUCAUUUUGGUAUUUGCUGGCUCCGUCUUAAGGAGCCAAAUAUAAAUAAAAAAGAUUACAGCACAAGAUAUAGAAACUGGCAAAUUAGCCAGAAAAGUCAGGGUAAUGAAGGGCCGAACAGGAUCACGUGGUGAGGAUCCCUGCUUCUCGCACCAAGAACAUGCAAUUUGCGUUUUCUCCUCUGUUCUCAAACAGCAGCUUCAGACUGCCUUCUUGCUCUUUAGCAUGAGUGGGCAAAACAAUGAAACUUGGUUUAGUCGUAUGAGGAAGUCGCAGAUCACCUGUUAUAUCCUCUGAGAAGGGUCAGUAGUGUGGUUAGGAGACAACAAGAAACACGUAACUAGAUGUAUGAGUGUUUUGAUUUAGAGCUUAAUUUCAUUCUAGGGUCAAGACAUUCUUGAGGGUUGGAGUAAAAAUAAUCCUCUUCCUUCGGUCUUCCAGGGAUAACCUUCCUCCUUGCAGGCUGGCCCAUGCGAUUCUCGUGCAUCCCCUUAACUGCAGCAGAGAAUUCAUCCCAAGAUAACAUCCCUUCUUGGAGAAGAUCCAAAAGCUCGACUAGUUUCCUCCUAUCCAGCAUGAUAGUCUUACGGAAGCCUGAAUACCUAAUAUAGACAAACAUAAAAGACUUGUCAACAUAUUUUCAUUUAAAUGCCAAUAUUUAAAGGAAGUGUUCAAUAUUUUAACUGAAUUUACACGCCUAGCUAGAAAGUGUGAAAAUGAAGCGGUGUGAUCUAGGUUGUCUAAAAAGGUCUAUCAAAACAAAAGAUGGAACUAUCCACAAAAGAUCAUUCGAUAUUAUUAUCCCAAGCAAAGUGUUAUUAGGCUUAUUUAAAAUAUUAAUUUUGAAGAAGCUUGACGUGCUGACUUCAUUCUAGGCUCCAAAAAGUUGUGAACUCAUAUAUUCAGGCCAAAUAUCAUAUCCAAUAGUUCAUUGUUUGAUCUACAUAUUCUAUGCUAAAUUUACAUAGGUGUAGAUUCUCAAGGUUUAAAGGCCAAAUAUUACUUAGAGCCUCCGACCAUGCAUCAAACCGUCGUAAAUAUGAACAAGGCACUGGUAAUCUAGAUUUGCAGAAUACAGGACAGGCCUUUCAGUCUAGAUCCACAUAUACCACAAAUAAUAAAAAAUAUUAAAGCCCACGAAAUCAUAAUUGUAAGAUGCUUGAAGAGCAUAAAUCUAAGGUUUCUAUGUCCAACCUCCUUUUGAGACGGUUAAUUGAAGAGAAAAGAACUUCCAAAUCAAAUAAUUGCUUGCUCAUAGGUAUUGACAAAAUUUUCUCACGCCAAUAUAACAAUGGUAUCAUUUAAUUAAAUGGAUUAAUUGAGUGAUUAAUUGAGUUCAUUAAUUGUAGAGGUAUUGUAAUCUUUUGAGUGUUAAGAUGGUUAUUAGCGGCAGCAAUGUGUUGUUGCUGGAAAACAUCAUAUCCAAGAUGCAUAUUCAAGAUCAUAUCCAUUUGCAGCAUAUUCAAGAUGCACGCUGCCAUGAUGCAUGAUGAGAUACAGGUGAGUUCACGAUCAUGGAUCUUACUUUGGACCCUAUACCCGGAAACACAGCAUGUUAUCCAUUGGAGGUGAUCUACACAUGAAAAAGAUCUACACAAAAGCCAAAGACCAACAUAUAUCCAUAAACUCUGGGAACAUGUAUUACCCUGGGAACAUGUGUUACCGAAGCUCUGGGAACCUAAGCGUUACAGAUCAAAUAAUAGCUCUAACUGGAACAUUAAAUUGCAAAUACAUAUUGUGUGGGGGUGCAGGUGCACACAAUAUGUCGAAAAAAUUGUACAUGAAGUAUGCGAGGGAGGUGAUUUUGUGCUUCGACAAUUACAGCAUCAUACACAUGUAUGUUUGUAAUAAUAGCAAUUAGUUGGUGGUAUAUUUCUAUAUGCGGUUUCUCGAUUUGAUUUUACAAGACUAGUUAAUUAUGAGCAACAUUUAUUAUAAUUUUAGGAAGAGGCAAACCUGCGGUGCCCUUCUACAACUCUUGCCAUAUUUUCAUCAUAACUAGGUAUGAACACAUCACUUGCAACAGAAACCAUAUAGUCCAAUGCAGCCAUCUGGGUGGAGUGGUUCUUAAAAGGUCUCAAUUCCUCAGGAGAUAGAAGCAUCUCCUUUCUUACCUGUUGUUUGACACGAGAAAAUCAUAGAUAUAAAAGUACAGCUUCAUAUAAAAAGCCUUAACGAUAGAAAUGGAGCUUACUAUUUUAGGAAAAGCCUCCCUCAAAAUAGCCAGCCUUCUUUCACCACCAUAAAGUUCACCAGAGGCAACAUAUAUUAAAGUGUCCCUUGUGAAUCCUAGUGCCUUCAGCACCAACGUUAUUUCCUCAGGUGUAAGAGGGCAUAGUCCUUCCAGUCUCUUCUUUUCAGAAUCGAUUUCCUUCUCUUUCCACCACGGAUAUGCGUAUCUAAAGUUUCAAAUGGAAAGCAAGCAAAGCUAUAAGUCAUUAGGGAAAAAGCAAAGGGAGAAUUACACCAAGGAUCAACUUUUUAGCAACAUUUCAGUUUGGUCCUGAACUUUUCCAUUGUUACAAUUGGGUCAAAUUCUCCAUCACUUGGACAGAAUUAUCCAUGUAAUUAUCGUCUAACGAACCAUGAAGGAUAUUUGGACUGAUCGCAUGGCAAUUACGGGGUGUAUUCCAACCAUUUAACAACGGAUAAGAUGGCAACCAAAUGCAAAUGUUUGAUACCUAAUUUAAAAAUUCAAUAAGUCCGGUGGCCAAACUGAAACCUUCUACAAAAAGGAUGGGGAUCCCUAGUGCAGUUUACCCGGAAAGGCAACAGAAUGAGAACAAGUACUGUAAACUAAAAUAGACGAUACACCUCAUUCUUGUCAAUUCAUCAAUUUCUUCAUCGGAACAUCCAUGUGUACAGCCAGAAAAAGAGAGCAUAUCCAUCUCAUAUCGCAAGUGAAGCACAACAAAGGACCCACUUUUUCGAAGAAUUGAGAUAAGCUUACUGCCUAAAGCUUCAAUAUGUGGAGUAAAUCUUAUUGCCUCAUAGUUAACACGACAGCGAAGCAUUUGGAGCUUACUUGGGAGCCCAUUGUUCGCAAGACGAGCAUCUGUCUUAUUAAAGUGGAGUACUUUGUGCUUCUUCACAAGAGGCAUGAUCUGCAGGAAAAAUAGCUUUUAAAGAUCACAUGCCUGUAAGGCACACCAGAAGUACUACCAUUAUUAAUGAAAAAUAAACAGCGCUGACCUUUUUUAAGUAAUAUUUCUCAUUAGACCAGCUUACUGGAGCAAUUGAGAAUGGUUGCCAUUGUAAUUUCCUACUAAAUUUAUCAGGAAUCCUUUUGACAAUCUUUACCUCAUCUCUCAAGGAAUUAAUGAAGUGAUUUACGUCAAAUAUAUCCUCAAAAUCGCUGAAAAAACGAAAUGAAGCUUAUAUGAGAAGGCAGAACUUGAAGGAAUACUAAAUUAAUCUCAAUCAGUAAGAAAACAGUCUAAAAACCAAACCUUGGAUCAGCCCAAAAAGAUGUUUUAUCAAGUUCAGGAAUCACUAAGGUCAAAUUUAGGUAUCUCGCAAUAGUAACCAUAUCACAAAUCUGCAAGAACAAACAAUAUAAAUAUGAACUACCAUUGUAAGAUCCCACUGAUAUCUAGUAGCAUUUUAAUCCUCAUCAUUUUGAGAAAUUAUUGCAAGAACCAGGGCACCACGCCAGCUAUGCACCUCCACUUCUAAUGCCCUCCAUCCUACCUCACCCUUUUGAUCCAAUCAACCAGCUCAUUUUAUGGAUCGGAAAGUGAUAUGGGAUGCAGGGGGAUAUAUGGCUAACAUUGUAUCCCAGGUCCAGGCAAUAAUUUCUUUAUCCUUAGGGCAAGAAACAAUGGUAAAGGCUAUUAUGCCAAGAGAUUACACACCGCUGCUCGCAUUUGGUUCAGGCCUCCAUUACAUGAAACUUUAAGAUAGCCAUUGCUUUUAUAAACUCCUGCACGAGAGUAUGAAGAUAUAAAUUAUGCAAUAUCUACCAGUGACAUGCCAAAAACAGCAGCUACAUGCGACAUAACUUUAGGAGAGACAACAUGUAUAAAGCAAGACACAAGGACAUAAAAUAAUCUAGAAGACCGUACAAAUAAAUAGAAAUGUACUUUAUAUUAAGGGCGUGUUUGGUUUGCCCCAUUUUCAUCCUGUAAUCAGAAUCGGAAUGGACGAAUCUGUUUGUCUGUGUUUGGUACGCGGGAUUUUCAUUCCGAUUCCAAUUCCGAUUCCUGGGUAAAUGGGAAUCCCUCCCAAUUAUCCCUCUUUCCAAUCCGACCUAGGAGGCCGGAUUGGAAAUUGAAUCCGGGCGGAAUAAAUUUAUUCGGUUUAAAUUUAAUUCUUUUAAGCUUAUUUUUUUAAUUAAAAUAUAAGUUUAAGUUUAAAAAUUAUAUUUAUAAAUUUAAAUUUUAAUUUGAACUUAAAUUAAAAAUUAAAAUUCAAUCAAGUAUUUCGAAUCUAAUUUAUAAAUUUAAAUUUAAAUUUAAUUUAAAAUCUAAAGUUUUAUUCAAAUUUUAUUUAAAAUUUAAAUUAAAUUUUAGGAUUCAAAUUGAAAUUUAAAUUAUAAUUUUUACCCGAACAAGAAUCGACCUGGCAUUCUACGAUGGAGACAGUGAUUCCCAAGAUGUUUAAGCUACAAACUCAGUCCAAUUAUGAAAAUUACAAAUUUCAAUCAUACAAAUAAUAGAACAAAUCAAAAGAAAAACUACACUUGUCGGAACGUGCGUGCGUUAUAGUUAUCAAGCAAUUCUUGGAAAAUCAUCAAUUGACGAUAUUCAUCAAUUAAAAGAAAAGAGGAAUAAACCCCUAAAACUUCAGUUUCCGUUCACAAUUCCUAUUCCUAUCAAUACGCAAGAACAAUUAAACCCUAAAAUCCCUAAUUCAGUUCAAUUCAGAAGAAUCUAAGAUUCGAUCCAAGAAACCUAGAGAAUGCAUCAAGAACAAAAACCUAUUUUAGAUCAAAUCAAAUAGUAAGUGAGAGAGAGAGAGAGAGAGAGAGAGAGAGAGAGAUGGAUCGGAUUGGGACCGACUCUUCGGGAGGAGCGCGGGAGGGGAAGAGUGGGCCCCACGGAGCGCGCCCUCGUCGUCGCCGAGGACGGCGAGGUUACCGGCGGCGGGGGUCGCGGUGGCGGCGCCGCCGCGUCGGCCGAAGCAUGCGGCGGCGGAGGGCCACGCGUCUCCGAUCCGCGGGUGCCGGAGCCCCGCCAUCGUGGCGAGCUGCAUCACCGCCGUCCACAGCAGGGCGCUCGUCGCCAUCCGCACCGUCCACCGUCGCAGCCGCCGCCGCCUCCGCAUCCAUCCGCCGCCGCCGCCGCCGCUGCUGCCGCCGCCGGAGAAGGUGGGCUUUCGCGCCCUCCGCUCCUCCGCCAUGGCCACGGUCCCCCCGAGUACGAAGCUAUGGACGCAUUGGGGAUUAUACCGUAGAAAAUAAUAGAGAAAAGAAUCAACGACUCAAUUAUAAAAAGAAAAAAAAAGUUUCGAAUUAAACACACAAAAAGAGAGAGAGAGAGAGAGAGAGAGAGUAAAAAUGGGAUUAAAAGGAGAACUUUUUCAAGAGAGACAUGAAGGUAGUUGGGAAAUUAGUAAGACGCUUUCAAAGUUUACUUUUUUAUUUUUUUAUUUUUGUUUUUCCUUUUGAGGGUUAAAAUACACCAUAUAGGUCCAUAAGCUAUGAAUCUUUAUUGUUUUUGUUUUAUUUUCUUUUUUAAUAAAAUUAUUUCGGUCACUUUUUUUUAAAAAAGUUAAAGACCAAAAUAAAAAAUCAGAUAAAAUUUGAGUGCUGGUGGAUAAUUAAUUCUUCUUGGCCUUCUAAAUUUUAAAUUAGUUUUCAUUUCUUAAGAUAGUGAUAAGUCUCAAAAUUUUGUUUAUAACAAGUCAAAGUUUAGUAUUAUAUGUAGUUUGUAGUGCCCUCAUGAAAAUUUUUAAUUAUUUAUUUAUGUUUAGUAGUUACCUCAUGAAUCUCGCACCACUUAAGAUUACGAAGGAUAAGCUAAAAAGUCUUCGGUGUGGUGUUUACAACCUUGCUUGUCAUUAAUGUCUCAGUCAAAUUUAUGAAUUUGAGAAUCAAAAAUGUUUUGAUCAUCUUAAUCAAAGAAUAAAUUAUAAAAUAAUUUUAGAAGUAAAUGCACGAAAGUUUAUACUUUUAUGUUGUUGAAUUUAUCAACAAGACAUUUGAACUUAUGGUCGACAAACAUUAAAUAUGAUUAAAGAAUAUAAAUUUUGUUGUAUUCAAAUUUUGUGAAUUUUUUACAUCAUUUGAUUAGUGAUUAAGUGGUCUCAGAUUCUCUUUGUAUUAACCACAAGAAAUAGUCAAUUUUGAGACUGAAAUGUUUAAAAAAAAUUUAAUAUUAAAAAAUUGAAAAGACUGAAAAAAUUAGUCUUUGAACUAGUAAGGGUCUAAAUGUUAUCUCAACUUUUUAAAUGCACAAAUAUCAUGGCUCCUAAAAAUUAUGGAGCAAUAAACAUACAGCGAAAACUUUAAUUUAUUCCCCCAUAUAAUAGUAACAGAUUUUUACCGGUCUAUAUAUAUAAUAAAUUACUAAACUAUCGAGCCCGGCUGGAAUACUAUCGAUAGUACGAAGCAUUUGGUACUAUCAAAUUUUCUGCCGUUAGAUUUAUCUCUUUUAUCAUUUGUAUCUGUUCGAUUAUACUAUUCAACUAACCACCCACUCAACCCUAAGAGGCCCAUAUCAUCCUAAUCGUACAUCUUUUAAUUUAAGGAUAAAAAACUUAAUAGCAUCAAGUCAUUGGUGCUAUUAAUAGUAUUCCAAUCUAAUUCCUAAACUAUCCUAUUUAGUGAGGAAUUAUUACGGUAAAAUAGAGAUGAAACUACGAAAUAGCAAAAUAAAAAAUUUUAAAUCACAAAAUAGCAAAAUUGAAAAUGCACUAAAUAAUACAAGAAUGGUUAGUUGAAGUUUUUUUCCGAAAGAACCUUAGAAUAGCGAUAUUGCAAAAAUUCCCAAAAUACUAUUAAAUAUUCGGAAUAAAUAUGACAUUUGAACUGCUAAGUGAUUGCUAAAUACGCAAUUUUAUCAAAUUAUCAUUAUUAAUACCUUCUAAGCAGCGACACUCAAUCUCCAACCUUCCGAUCCGAUCAUAGAGAAAAAAAAUAACAAUCAUACUCACACAUUCAAACAAAAUCGAUGUGGCCGAGUACAAAUAAUCAAAACCGAAGGGGCCAACUUGAAAUUUUUACUCUGCUAUAAAAAUCCAUCCGAUUUGAAACCCCCCGGCUCCUGCCUCUUUCUUUCCCUCCAAACCCCCCCCCCCCNCUCCAAAUCUCCCCCCCACCCCCCCUCCCAACUCCCAAUUCCCUCACCUUCACCCCCAAUCCAUCAAGAAAAUGAAGAACGUCGGAUUCUCGGCCUCCGACGACGACGAGGAGAGCGGAAUUGGGCCCUUGGCGUCCUUGCCGGCAAAUGUCAUCUCCCGCAUCGUGUCGAUGUUGCCCGCCACCGAUUACGCCGCCCUCCGGUGCGUCUCCAGAUCGUGGCGCGACAUCGUCUCCUCCAUCCCCUCCGCCCACCACCGCGAUCAGCUCCCCCUCCUCCUCAUCCCCCCGUCUUACGCCCUCCCCGAUCCCCUCCUCCUCUGCCGCCGCCGCCGCACUCUCGGUGCCAACAAUCCCGUCGGGCCCGUCGUCCGCUUUCCCUGCCUUGGCGACCGCCGCAUUCUCGCUCCCCCCAUCUUCCCUCUCGACGUCCCCCGCGACUGCUACCGUCUCCCUUCCCUCGCCAACACCGCCCGCCACGUCUGCGUCGGCUCCUCCUACGGCUGGCUCGUCCUCCUCGGCCCCUCCUCCCACAUCUCCCUCCUCAACCCCCUCACCGCUGACACCAUCACCCUCCCUCCUCCGCUCUCCUCCGUCAGCUACCUCUUCCCCGUCCGCAACCACGACAUCGACGAAUACCUCCUCCCGCAGGGCUCGCACCGCCCGCUCCACCUCGCCGCCCUCAUCCGCGUCGCCGUCCUCUCCGCGGACCCCUCUGCCGACCCCUCCGACUGUCCCUCCUCGUUCCUCCUCGUCAUCAUCCUCGGAAAUGACGUCACCUUCCGCGUCGUCACCUGCGGCCCGGGCAACGGCUAUGCCACGUGGAGGCACCACUGGCUCCACCACCACGCCGACAUCGCUGCCACCCGCAUGACCGACCUCGCCUUCCACGGCGGCCUCUGCUUCGCCGCCGUCAGGGGGCGGUACGUUGCGGUCUUCGACUUCGGCGCCAGUCCGGCGUUCCAGAGGCUCCUCGAUAUCAGGGACAACGACGGCAAUUACAACAGUCCAGCGAGCUACGCUGGCUUCUUGGUCGAGUCGGAAGGCGAGCUUCUGCUUGUGAAGAGGCUUGGAGAGACCACUGCGGCGCGCAUCUCCAUCUACAAAUUGCCUCCGAUCGAGGGAGACGGGGCGAUCGUGCCGGUUCCCAAGGACGGCCUUCGCAGUCGCGCCUUGUUCUUGGGCACAGGGAAUUCCGUGUCGGUCGCGGCCCGAGACUUCUCGCAGUUCGUCAGAGGAAACAAGGUCUACUUCACCGACGUGUGUUGCGAGCCGGGAGAUGAUCGGGCGGUUUUCGUGGGCCGCGUCUUCGAGUCUGACGUUGCGCAGGGCUCCACGAGGAGGGCGUUCGGAGUGGUGGAAGAGCGCGACGUGAACAUGUGGUUGCAUCUGAGGCCGGUUUGGGUUACGCCGAAUUUGCGCAGGAGAGAUCCACAAGCACCAAGAGGUUCAAUCUCGCAUAACAACACUUCCAUUUUUGAUUCUCCCCUGAAAAUAUGCUCAUAGUUUUCAUAGUCAUUUUUACAUGCCUCAUAUGUUCUUCAUUCUAUUUUACAACAGAAUUUCAAUUUCUUUUAUGACUUUUGAGGUUUCUUUUUCGUUCUAAUUGUUGCUGAAAACAUCGUUCUUGUCGCUUUUUCGUGUCAUCGAGAUUCUAGACUUGUUCCUUGAACUAAGCCAAACUAAACUUUUAGUCCUUUAGCUGAAGAAGCUUUACAGUAGUGAAUUCCACAAACAUGCGAUUUUUAUUGGUUUUCAUGCUUUAAUAAGUUUGCUGCGCACGUUUUUAAGUUCUUUUCUGAUCAGAAAAUACUGCAGUAUGAACACUCCAAGUUCUGAUUAGACAAUUUUGAAGAAUAGUGCCAUUAUCAGACAGUCGUAAUCUUCAGUAACGAUGCCGCUGAGGCGCUCGAGACUGCUUACUUUUAUUGAUUUAUCGUGUUGUUGUCGAUAUAGUGAAACUUCAAUUCACACCUUGAUAUCGAGUUGCCUCGUAAGAAAGUAACUUUGUUAUUCUUGUCCGAAUUACGCAAUUUGCGCUGUUUACGUCGAUAGCACUCAUAUUUCGUGGAAUAUAAUCGUAAAAGUGAUCGUCUUUCGUGAUUCAGGUCACUCGACGGAUGAAGGGAGGAACUGAUGCGGCAAUUCGACCCUUGUAACUGUUCUUGAUUCUCCAGCUUCAGGGUCAUCAAUACAAACUCUUUCAGUUUUUGUACAUAGGGAGAUCAUAUAUAUAUAGAGUAGUUCUAUGAAACUUCUAAAACUUCUUUCAUACAUUGUAUCAUAUCUGAUACAAAAAGCAUUUUGUACAGUUUUGGUUUGAACUUGAUGUACCAUCUAAGAGCAUCUGCUGAGAGUGCACACAGCUGUCAGAAACUGAUGAGACAUAUAUGCAAGAAAUAAUUUGAUCCUUCUGUGUGAUGAACAGCAUGAUUCAUCUGAAGUAAACAUCUAACUGAACCAGUUGACUUCAUGUUCACAUCUGAACCUUAUUUUGGCUUUUUUGAACGAGUGAAUGAGGCCAAUUGCCAGCAGGUUAAGCAUUUUAGAUCAUUUUGUUACUCGCGCUAGAUGCAGAAUGAGAAGGUUGAAGCACGAAAGAGGGAUCUAAACCUGUGCAUCUUGCUUAAUUUCAAAUAACUAACAACUAGAAGCUAUUCAAUUCUUGAGAUUGAACAAAACACUUUUUUAACAACUAACAUCGUGUCUAAGGGUUGCUAUUCAGAUGAUUGUCCAGAAGUUAGCAAGUUUGAUGUUCUGUACAUGCCAUUUAACAAAAUAGAAUUUGAGUCCUCGGUUUUGUGGAUUACAAAGUGCUAGCUACUACUUUGGUGCCUGUCUAUUAGGUCAGAGAUUUGAUUCCCAUAUAUGUCAUCUGAAAGAGAAAUACUACUUGUGUAUACACAAGUGGAAUGUAAAUUUUACACUAACCCAACCAAGGGUUUAGAUAACUUUUUUGGAUUUUUAUUAUUUAAAAAAAAAUUGAUAAGAUUAGUUCGACAACAUUAAUAUUUUGAUGUAUAAAAUAUAAGAUAUAUAUUUAUUUUUUGAGUGUGCAUAUGGCAUUGCUCUAAGAAAUAUAGGGCGUGAUAUAAAUAUUAGAAAAACUUCACGUUGCCCCUUUGUAAAUUCGCACAUUUUCGCGUAGCCAAUAUGUGGUUGAUUUUCUUUUCUUUUUUUUUGUUUUUUUUUUUUUUCCUUUUCUUUACUUUGACAUAUUAUGUCUUAUGCCUUUUUAAUUUUUUAUUUUUUUGUGUCACUACAAGAAACUUUUGUUGAGUGGUGCUAAAAUAUUAUAAUUCACACCAAUCGUUCCUAAUGUAAGUGACAAAGAAUUUAAUGAUUGGUAUCCAGGUUUAAAAUUCGAAUUCUAGUUAAUUUACAUUUCCGGCUAAGUUUAUUUCAAAACUGAAAUAAAUGAAGCGGAUAGUAUGUUAUCUAUUUCUCACAAAAAAAAAAAAACUUACAAAGCACAAAUAACUAGUGUUUUAUAAAUUUUCAAAUAAUAGUGAAAGAUUUUUAUCUUCCUGUUAAAAUAAAAUGAUGACAAAACUUCCAAAUAUUAAAAACAAAACUUUUCAAAUCACAGUACGACGAAAUUAAAAACGCACCAAAACAAUAGAAGCCGAUUGAAGUUUAUCUGGGGAUGUAAAUGAAUAUGGAUAUUCUGACACCGAAUCCAAAUAGGGUGAGUUUUAACUGAUGCUAAGUGGGUGUACUUUUAAUUAGGUAUAACAAAACGAAAACAUGAACCCAAAUCCAAACCCAAAUCCGAAUCCGAACAGAACCCAAACCCAAACGGGCUUUCUACUGGAUAAUAUAUAAAAAUUUCAAUUUGUGUCCUAAAAAUUUGGAUUCGAAUAAGAUAUGUUUUAAAAUUUUGUAGAGAAGGAUGAUUGCUUUAGGGCUCUGGGUACGGUUGCCGUGUUUCAUUUCGAAUUUUGGUUUUCUUAUCGGCUUGGGGUUUGGCUAUGGCUUUUCAAAACCGACAGUUUCAAGUUCAAAUUCGAAUUUAGAUAUCAAUUUUGCUAGUUGGGUCCGGGAUUGAAUUUUUAAAGCCCAACCUGUUGACAUUCAUAAGUUUGUCUAAACAAAACUCACGACAUCUAUGUGUAAUUAUUCUAUCCCGUAAAGAGUAUGAUCAAAUAUUAGGUACGAUACACACAAGUACACAACCUUCAAAUUAUUUGUUUAAAAUAAAUUAAAUUAUGGAUAAUCAAAUAAGAAUUCAUAUUGACGUCCAAACAUGAUCGAGAGGGGGCAGAGUGCAAAUUAGUGAAAAUUCAGGGGGGUCAAAUUGAAGUUUUGACCCCACUAUAAAAGCCCCGUCCAUUUGAAUCGCCUCAACUCCCGCAGCUCCUGUUUCUUGUUUUCCCUCCAAAACUUCUCCCACCCUCCCCUCCCAAAUCCCCCAACUCCAACCCCCCAAAAUCCACCAAGAAAUCGAAGAUGAUCAAACCCUUGCCCUUCGACGGCGAUGGCGAGAGCGGAAACGAGCUGUGGGCGCCCUUCCCGUCGGAUAUCUUGACCCACAUCGCGUCGAAGCUGACUGCCGCUGACUACGCCUCGGCCCGCGCCGCCUGCAAAUCUUGGCGCGCCGUCUUCUCCUCCGUCGCCGCCCCCCGCCGUCCCCACCCGCUCCCCUUCCUCCUCCUCCCCCCGCACUACACCCUCCCCGAUCCCCUCCGCCUCCUCAGCCCUACCCCGCCCUCUCCCGACUACCCCCUCGGCCCCAUCGUCCGCUUUCCCCGCCGCCUCAACCGCUGCUACACCAAUUCCCCCAUCUUCCCCCUCGGCAGCGUCCGCAAUCCCACGUUCCGCCUCCCUCCCCCGCUCUCCUCUGUCCGCUACCUCUUCCCUGUCUCCGAUCCUCGUGACGUCGACCAACACCUCCUCUCGCCGCCUCAUCAACCUCGCCGCCUCCUCCACCUCGCCGCCCUCGUCCGCCUCGCCGCCCUCUCCGCCGACCCCUCCGACGACCCCUCGUCCUUCAUCCUCGUCAUCGUCCUCGGGAACGACGUCUCCUCCCGCUUCUUCACCUGUGGCCCGAGCGACAGCUACGCUGCGUGGAAGCCCCACAGCCCGCUCAGGUUCCCUGCCUACGGCCUCACCGACCUCAUCUUCCACCACGGCCGCUGCUUCGCCGCCAUCACAUGGAGUUACUCUGGGCGCUCACUGCACGGCCCUGCAGACGCAAUCGCCGUUUUCGAUUUCCACACCUAUCCGGCAUUCCAGAGGCUUUUGCAUGUUCGGAUCCGCGAAAACUAUGUUGCGAAAAACUAUACCAACUUCUUGAUUGAGUCGGCCGGUGAGCUACUGCUCGUAACCAGGCAUGGAGAGAUCAAUGCGGGGCGCAUCUUGGUCCAUCGUUUGCCUCCGUUGGAGGGGGAUGGUCCGUUCGUACCAACUCCCGAGGCCAACCUCGGCAAUCGGGCCUUGUUCUUGGGCACGGGGAAUUCCGUCUUAGUGCAAGCCCGGGACUUCCGGCGAUUCAUCCGAAGAAACUGCGUCUACUUCACCGAUGUGUAUCGCAAGGUGGUAAACGAUCGGGCUGUUUCCGUCGGCUGCGUCUACGUGUUCGACAUGGAGAAAGGCAUCACAAGGAAGGCGUUCGAAGUGGCGCAAGAGCAUGAGAUGAAUAUGUGGUCGAAUCUGAGGCCGUGGUGGGUUACGCCCAAUUUGCGCAAGAGUGAUCCAUGAGCACCCAGAGGUUCGAUCUCGUAUAACACUUUCGUUCUCCCUGCACGCACUUUUUGAGUUUUUAGUACGAAUUGAAGAUUAUGUCGAUGAAUAUGGUUAUGAAUGAUUGUUAUAGUUUAAGCGCGUUUUUGCAGGCUUUGUUCUAUGGUAGUA